UCCAUAUGACCCUAGCUAACAUUCUCAUAUUCUUCCCAUCGGAAACCACCUCCAUCACCCACCCAUCACAGUCACCUAACUACCUUUCACCCCACAAUCCGCAAAGGUAUCCCCGUUCCAGCAACAUAAAGAACCAGUAGUGGUGGAGAUGAAAUCUGGAAGCUAUGGCAGAACCCGAGCCCACUUCCUGUAAAUUGGAUUCCUAGCUAGCACCACCACCAAAACCCCAAUUCCCCAAAAUCCCCACCAUCUUUCACCGCAUCCGCCAUUUCCACCCCAACCUAAUUUCAGUACCAAAUUAUAGUUUUAUUAGACAGAGAUCAUUUAUUGGUUUGUUCAAGUUUGAAUGGGUGGUGGUAAUGGAGAAAGAAGGAGAAGAUCGAGGUGGUUGCUCAAGUGGGAGGGGAAGAAGAAGAUGAACAAGUUUUUUUCAAUAAAAUAUUUCUCUCUAAUGACUCAAUUCCUUUGGAAACUCUAUUUUUAUGGUAAUUUCUGACACGAUCCGUUAACCUGACAAGAAAUUAACAGGUUUUCGGGUUAACACGAUAAUGAAUAUUAAGCUAACAAGUCGGUCUAGAUAUACAUGCAGGUAACUUGUUACAUGAUAUGAAAAAUAUUAAUUUAACAAUUUCAUACCACUAAAAAGAAAUACUAUAAUUAACAACAGUAUGAUUUAAUCCCGAAUUGAACUGAAAGUUAAAAUAUAUAUAUAUAUAAAUAAAAAAAAAUUGAUGACCGUUGGAUCGGCUCAGAUUUAAUUUUUGGUCGUCCAAUGUUUUUUUUAUCCUUAAAUCAGACUCUUUCUCAUUCUCAAAGGCUGGAAUUGAAGCAGCUGCUCUCUUUCUCAAACUGAACUCUUGAAUCUCAGUCUCAAACCUCAACUCUGGUCAGCCAUAAAUCCAUGAUCACCCUCUCUAGUCUCCCUCCACUAGACCAUUGUCACCGCAUAGUGGACUAGUAACCCACAACCAGUCGAUCUGCUAUUUUUGUAUCUGAUUCUCUCUCUGGAUCGAGUCAAUCUCGAGCUCUAAUCGAGGUAAUUGUUGAUUAUUUCGAAUUACUUUUAAAAAAUAGGGUAUUGUUUCGAAUUAGUUUUCAAAUUAAGAUUGGUUUCGUUUAUUCAAUUUGGGGUUUUUCGUUUCGAAAUAGUUUUCGAAGUAAUAUUUAUGGGGCAACAUGGUAUGUGCAAAUUUAGGGGAAAAAAAUAUUUUUCUUCACAUAUCAUAAUGAGUCAGGUCAUUUUACAUGUUGGGUAAUAUGACCUAACCUGUUAAGAAUAUGUUAAGAUAAUAAGUGUGACAUGAUACAAUCCGUUAAGAUAAUAGGUGUUAUACGAAAACGAUACGAACACGACAAACAUAAUCUGUUUGUCAAGCCUUUUCGACCAUUUUCUUUCCAAGUCUGUCUGCUUACACCACUUUCUUCUUUCUUCUUUCGUACUGUUCAAAUGAUCAAUUACAUCAUUUCUUGUUCGUUGUUUUCAAAGUAGAAAUUAAUUUCUUUUCUUAAUAUUUUUUUGUUCACAUGGUCUUCUUCUGAUUUUUUGUUUUUUUUUUAAAUGUUUAAUGUUUAAUAAAUUUUUAUAUACAAUAUAAUAUUUUUUUAUUAGUUAAAGAAGUCAAUAAGGAUAAAUUAGUAAAUUUAUACGCAAAUUUUUUACUCAAGGAGUUAUAUAAAAAGGAUUUAAAAUCUGAGGAGUGUUAGUGGAAUGUCUUAAACGUGAGGAGGUUUUGUGAAAACUUGAUAAACCUCAAGGGGUGUUUGAUGUAAUUAACCCCAUUGCUUUACCUCUUUUCAUGCUAAUCACGCCACAUAUCCACUAAUACAGUGGUUGUCCCAAUUAGCAUUAAUUUUAGCUUUUGAGUCUUUUUUAUUUGAAAACGGCUCGCUUUUUUUUAUUUAGAAUGUCUUCUUUAAAGUUUGUACCUCUUUUUAGUGUUGCAAUUAAACCUUUAUUACUUCACCUAAAAAAAUAAAACAAAAGAGAGAGUAAGAAGAAUGAUGACAUCAGGUAUCCUAGGAAUUUGUCAGAAGUAAAAAUAGCCAUAUGAAUCCUUUUUUAAUAACCAUAUGACUCAAUAUUAAUUUUCUUUUCUAUACAAGCGGCGUUGGGUUGGGGUAGAAAAAUGAUACAUGGUCAUAGAUGCUAAGCAAAUGUUUUUAACCAUUUGAGUUACAUAAUGUAUGACUAAAAAUUUAACUGGCCAACUUUAAAUAAAAGUCAAAAUUUCAACCAAGCUUGAACGUUUCUAAACUCAAACCUCUCUACAUUUAAAUAUUUUGACAUUAGACUUUAGAAUUCUAUAAUAAUUAAAAUUUACCUUGCUCCUAAUUUCAACCUAUAUAGAGAGAGGAAAAAAACUUUCAUGAACCGGGUAUAAUGUCAUUGCGCCGUCCCAUGCUAAUGAUAUGUGGAGAGAAGCUUACAAAUGUCAUGAUAUUAUUAGCAUGGAGGACCACUCUGGCAAUGCAUCGUUCUAUGUAAGUUGCUCUUUAUAGAGAGGGGAGAACCUGGUAUGCAAUUGGAAGCAAGAUGACAUAUUCCAAGCCUAUUACACGGUCUAUUUAAUUGAACUUGUUCGCUUGACAUUUUGCGAUUGAUUUGGAAUAUCAUAUAAUUGACAAGGGAAAAGUUAUUUGUAAGAGUGCAAGAUGGAAUAGUGUUUUCAAUUUCGACAGUAAAAUUUUUGAAUUCGUAAUCCGAAUAUUUUUCAAAAAUUUGGAAUGGAAAUUGGAUUGCAUCUUAGAAUUCCAAGGUCCGUAUUUUGGAUCCUAAUUUUCCAUUCCAAACUUAUUUCAAUAAAAAAAAAUUCUGAAAUAUUCUAAUUUUUUGAAUUAGUUAAUCAAAUUAUGUAUAUUGUAAUCAACUUUUGUAUUUUAUCGUUAGUUUUGGAUACAUGUUGUUUAUUUUUUUUUCUUUGAUAUUAAGCAUGCACUUAUAUAUUAAAAGCAUAAGCAACAUGUCACAUCCCGGCCCGGGCCUCCACCAUAUCUCGGGCUCAAUUCCUCUGUAACACAAUAUUAUCCGCUUUGGACCCCAACCACGUCUUCACGGUUUUGUUUCUGGGAACUCACACGAGAACAUCUCAGUGGGUCACCCAUCAUGGGAUUGCUCUCGCGCGAACUCGCUUAAAUUUGGAGUUCCGAUAAAACCCCGAAGCUAGUGAGCUCCCAAAAGGCCUCGUGCUAAGAAGAGGUGGACAUGUACAUAUAAGGCAUGGAGGAUCCAAUCCCCUGUGGAAUGUGGGAUGCUACAAUCCACCCCCUUAGGACCAGACAUCCUUGUCGACAUACUUCCGACUAGGGAUUGGAUCUGAUACCAAAUUGUCACAUCCCGACCCGGGCCCCCACCACAUCCCGGGCUCGACUCUGCUGUAACACGAUAUUGUCCACUUUAGGCCCCGACCACGCCCUCACGAUUUUGUUUCUGGAAACUCACACGAGAACUUCCCAGUGGGUCAUCCAUCCUGGGAUUGCUCUUGCACGAACUCGCUUAACUUCGGAGUUUCGAUAGAACCCGAAGCCAGUGAGCUCCCAAAAGGCCUUGUGCUAGGAAGAGGUGGGGAUGUACAUAUAGGUAGCGUUUGGUGCGCAGACGGGACGGGACGGAACAGAUGUUCUGUGCUAUGUUUGGUACGCGCAGGACGGAACAUGAUGGUUGUUCCGUUCUGCGUUUGGUAACGCAUGGACAGAACGGAACCAAAAGAUUAAAAAGACUAAAAUACCCAUGUUCCGUCUGUUGUUUAGUACAAUUUUAUGCGUGGAACGGGACAAGACUUUUUUUUUUUUUUGGGUUCAAAUUUGAACACUAUUAUCCAUUAUUUGUUUUUCUUGGUCCAAAUUUUAAUAGGUAUAUGUUGUGUUCCACAUGCAAACCCCUUUAAAAUUUGUAAUUUUUAAUCUCCUAGUUUUCUACAGCUCCAUUUGAAUUUUCAGCACCAACCCAUCAAAUUUUAUUAUGCAAAUGUCAACCACAUAAAGCAAAAGAACAGUUUUCUUCUCCUAAUUCCUACAGCUUACAUCAAGUAUCCACUUGUUUAUCUAAAGAGUUAUUCAAUUCAUUCUAUUAUAAUCUUAGAUACCAAACAAAGCCUUCGCCUUUGUUUUUCAUGAAAAACGCUUUCAUAUCUCAGUCCUAAUAUACAUCAAUGUCCACUGUUUAAUAUACUAGCAAUAACCAAAGACAACCCGUGGUGUUGAUCGACAUUGCCAGAAUUUUAUCAUUACCAGAAAGCCAGAAUAUUUGAAGUGUUAGUGGUACUGCACUACAGAGGCAGAAUAUGUACAAACUCACAAAGCAAAGCAAAGAAUAAUAAUCAAACUUGUUACUUAAACAGAGAAGAAAUAAAAAACAUUUGAACAAUUGGUUUUCACUGUAAUGCCAUCAAAUUACAAAGAAAUUUUUUUACAAAGAAAGAAAAUCAAUGAGUACAAAGAUGAAUAGGAAUUAGAAAACAGCGAAGGUUUCCAAAGUGAAUGCAUAACCAGAAAUAUAACCUGUUUGCUCUCAAUAAGAUCGACCUCCCCUUCCUGUUGUGCCAAUUAACAAAUACAACAUCAGGAAUCUGAUAAAUUUACAUCAUGGCAGAGUAAAACAAAAUUAUAUAUAAGAGAGCGAACAUCAACUCACCAACCCAGAGACCAUUUGAUGAAUCAAUUCAAUAGCAAUCAAAUUACAAAGAAAGAGAGACCGAGAGCUACACAAAAACAGAUCGAACCUGGAGCGGAGAUGCAGAUCUGAAGAUGCUACACGGAAGAGGAUAAGGAGGAAGGUUCACAGAGCUGCUACACGGAAGAGUUGCGAAGGGAAGAUGUGAAGAAGAUGAGGAGGAAGGUUGCGAAGGGGAGAGAUGGGGGUGAAGAGGAUCGGCGGCUGAGAAGAAGAUAAAUAGAUUUUAGGGUUUGUUAUAUGAUUUUGAUGCUGUAAAUUUUGAAAAAGAUAGGGGGCAUUUUUGUCCUAAAAUGUUAAAAAUUUAUGUCCCACGGGCAUGGAACAACCCGUUCCACGGGGGGGGGGAGGUGGAACCAAAAAUCCUUAAAAACUUGUCCCGUGGAACGCCUCGUCCCACUCCUUUUAGGCGUACCAAACGUAGGACGGAACGUCUCGUCCCGUCCCGUUCCGUCCCGUCCCGCGUACCAAACGCGCCCAAGGCUUGGAGGAUCGACUCCCCUGGGCGAUGUGGGAUGUUACACAACCCACUAUAUUGCAAAAUUAAUUGAAUUUAUACAUAAGCAUACACCAAAUAUUAAGGGAGAACAAUAAAUUGCAUGUAUGAAAAUGUUUGAGAAUAUUCAAAAACCUAUAAAAUAUAUGAAUUUUCGAAUUAUAUAAUGAAAUUUAUGAGGUUACUCCAAUCAAUUCUGAAUAUUUAGAAAAUUUUGAAAUUAAAAAUUGUGAUCCGAUCCGAAUCGAAUCCAAAAUUUUAGAAUGAAAAUUGGAAACAUUAUUUCUGAUUUAAUUCUUCCGAAAACCACACCUCAUUAUUUGCUUGAUCAGAGAUUCUUUCAUACACAUUUCUCUAUUAAUUAAUGAAACCCUCUUUGUCAAUCAAAAAAUGGUGAAAAGACAAUUUAAUCUUCUAUCACACAAAAAAUGAUGGGCAAUAAUGUAAUUUCACAGAUCCAUUUAACUUUGAAUAUUUCAAAAUUUUCGAAAUUAAAAAUUGUGAUCCGAUCCAAAUCGAAUCCAAAAUUUUAGAAUGAAAAUUGGAAAUAUUGUUUCUGAUCUAAUCCGUCCGAAAAUCACACCUCAUUAUUUGCUUGAUCAGAGAUUCUUUCAUACACUAUUUUCCACAAGUGAGUGGUUGUUCCUUUCCCUGAUAGCCGUAAAGAGAUCAUUGUUGUUAGGCCUAUCAAAAUGAUUUCUUUCUUCUUUGUGCGGAGCAGGCCUAGGUACCGUUUGGUACGUGGGACGGGACGGGACGGAACGGGACGAGCCGUUCCGUCCCACGUUUGAUGUGCCUAAAAACUGUGGAACGGAUUGUCCUAUGGGACGAAAUUUGGCUGAUUUUUCGUUCCACUUCUUUCCCCUGGAACGACCCGUCCCACAUCCGUGGAACAAAAAUUUAUAACAUUUUAUGACAAAAUUUCUCCUUAUCUUUUUCAAUAUUUACAUCAUCCGUUCCGUCCUGUUCGGUCCUGUCCCGUCCCGUCCUGUUCCGUCCCGCCCUGUCCCGUUCCGUCCCGUCUGCUUAUGCUUUGGUCAAUAACUCUCAGGGCUUAAAACACUUUGUAGAAUUAAAAAGGAACAAAAAAAAGACCUACGAGGUUUUGUUGCAAGAGUUCCACGGUCUAAAACUCACAUUACGGUUUAUUACUAAUGAGUAGAAAAAGUUCAAAACUAUUACAAUAAUUUAAGAAAGUUUCGAAUUUGAGACGCAUGAGCAGAAGUCAAUAUCAUAUAAGACCACAUGCUUUCUAUGUUAUAACUUUUUGAUUUGUUGAUUUGCAAACCGGAGGACGUUAGGUGGAAGACUCGAGGUGCACCUAUAUAAGUUACGUGCGCACACAAAUACAUAUGUGUAUAUAUUAAUAUAUAUGCUUAAUAUAUAUGCAUGUUACUCAUGGUAUUUGCCUUGCAUUUUCUAAAAUAUAUGCUUGUUACUCAUGGUAUCUGCCUAAACACGUGCACAUGAAGGUUGCAAGUAGGCAAGUGUUUUUAUUUUUGUUUUAGGAACAAAUUGCUUUAUCCGAAAAGAAGAAAAAAAAAACUCAGAUAAUAGUAUCAUGAGCAGUAAAGAGGCAUACUACAGAAGUGCUAGUUGGUUUAGUAAUUGAAGUUAUGAAAUAUUAAAAAAUAAAAUAAAAAAUUGGUGAGAGAAAAUAGGAGUAGAAGAGAAAGUAAUUUAAUGAAAUUACGAUACUAUCUUUGUUUAUUUAAACUAUUAUUGUAUUUUUUUUUCCAAUAAUAUAUUUCAACUAAGUGGAUAUAGGAAUAGUCAAUUAAUAUUAUGGUCUAGUGGUAUUCAUUUUUACUUACAAGUGAGAAGUUUUAAAUUCUAUGCUUAAAAUUGGCAAGCUCAUUAAUUGGGUCAAAUUUCACAGUUAUUGGUAUCCUAAGCCGACAAGGGACACAGGUUAGUGUUGAACCACUUCUAUCACAAAGCUUGGAGUCACCCUUCCUUCCAUUAUAAUCUGUCUGAUAUGUUUUUUUAAAUCAACUAUUUCUUUAUAUUUCAAAUCAAUUCUGAAACUACAAAUUUUAUUUCAAAUUGAUUAUCAAACAAUUCCGAUUACGCUUAGUUGGACAAUUUGAUUUGUAUGUAUCUGUUCUAAUUUGUUUUUGUACUUAGGAAAUGUUGUAUAUCCAUGUUUUCAUAUCAAAAGAUUCGAAGCUAUGUUCUCCAUGAGCAUCAUUACCUCGGCCUUCGUGUUGUGAUUUCAUUGCAUAGUUUGAUAUUAGGAUUUAUGACUAUUUUACCAGAUUAUUAUUGAUUUACACUAGUGGGAGGAUAAAUGGUCCUGAUCUAUCACAACUAAGAUAUUCUUUCUGGUUACAACUUACAACCAGUAAGAUAUUUUUGAUAGUCAUAUAUCAGCAUAUUGUGUAAAAUCCGUAUAGUUCUGUUUGGGCCCAAAAUAUUUAGUUUGGGCCGAGUGUGGAAUCAUUCUUGGCCCGGAAAGAUUUAUUGUUAGGGGUCGUCUUGUUCAUGGGCCGCUUAAUUAGAGUCGGUCGAGCCCCAUUGGGAAAAGGAGCGGCCUGGAUAAGGAAGAGGCGUGGGAAGUUAUGCGGUUAACAGAAAUCCUGGUGUGAUAAGGAGUCCCGGUGAGAUGAGGAGGUCGAGACACAUUUUGAAUACAGCCUGGUAGAAAGGUUAGGUUCAAAAUCCUGAUGGGAGUAGGAGUGCUCGAGAUGGUGUUUGAUUAGAAGAAGAAGUCCUAAUCCGAGUAGGGUUUAACUACUCGGAUUAACUCUACUUAGGAAGUAUUUGAUGCUAUAAAUAGAGGAGGCUGUGCAUUGUUCAAGCUCCCUCCAAUUCAACACACAACUGCCCUGCGCAAACUCUCUCAACAACUUUGAGAUUUUUUAUUUUCUCUUUUCGCUGACAUAUCUUCUGUUGGCAUCAAUAGCACUGUGAAAGCAACCGAUGAUAUCUUCAAUCGGCAUAGAUAGCUCAGUCGCCGUAGAAUCAGCCGAUCUCGCAGCAUCUUCCGUUGGCAUCAAGAGUAAUGCGGCGAAGGCGGUUGGUUGCCUAUCCAAGUCUCGGUCGAGAAGGAUUUCCGAGUCCUUAUUGAUCGAGGUCAUCUCAUUAGCCUUCUCGGCGAAGUGAGGUGUUACAGCUCACUAAGCUCGGCGCAUUGCAAGCCGAGUUAUUUUAUUAUUGGAUACUCUCAAGUGGGAUUUAGAGUUUGGCAUUCAGACGGCCGAACCACGUUCACUAUUAAGACUUAUAUCCGUUUUGAGUAUUUGUGCCCUUACACUUUGGUGUCGAUUCGGCGUGAGUUUACUUUGACGAAUACCAUCACUGUGAUCGAAUCCAACGACGACGAUUCGUGAACUUCGUAAGAAUAGUAGCCUUGUCUUCAGGUUCGAGAACCCAAGAGCCCGAGACGUGUUCCUUCCUCGGUCGCAAUCGCAAGACGCAGAAGUCAGCCGCGCACCUAACGUAACAUCAGCAAAUUUUACUCCUCGACCGAGCUCGGCCGACGCGUUAGCACGCCCCGCAUUCAACCGAAGGACGUAGUUAGCUUUUAGAUUACUCGGCCUGCGCACCACGUAGGCUUGGUAAUUUUUAGGGUCAACAUUUUGGCAUGCCCAUUGGGACCUAGUGCUAAAUUACGAAGUUCAUGCCAAUUGAAACGCGAUUGGUAAAAAAGAAAAUAGCUAUGGGAAAAUCAACAACUGAUUUUCCAAUUCAAAACAUAGGACAAAGUGUGUCACAGGCGCAGAAUCCCCUUAACGCCUUGACACCUGAGUCCACAAGGGCGGCUUGUCAAGAAAGGGAAGUUAAUCUCGACGGCCAGCUUCGCAGUCUCGAAGUCCCUAACAGAAACACCUGUGUUCUCAAUGAAGGGAUAAUUGAAGAUUGUGACGAGGAUGGUGGUGAAGGAUCUGAUCCACCAACAAGAUCGUUUAUAAAAAACGACUUGACGAGCAGUCUCAGACGGUUGAACAGACGCUUAGUCGAGGAAUCGAUAAACUGCAUGACGUGAUACGUAAUACCAAUGAGACACAAACCAGAUUGCUUUAAAUGCUGGUUAGUAAGGUCAGCGACGACAGGUUUUUCGAUCUUUUCCUGCAUUUGCCACCAAGAAAUAAUCUGUCAACAAUUGUACAGGCCGAGUCAAUCCUUACUCGGCUCAAACCAAUAGACUCAGAAAAAAGGAGGAGGAUCGAAUAGUAGGUCAGGUGGAUCCGACCAUAGAGUAGAAGCCACACCCGUUAAUAUGACCGAGGUUUAGCGGAUGAUCGAUUCGGCCAUGAAAAAAGGGCCGAAGUUUCCUAAAUUUAUCCCUCUGUAUCCAACUUAUGUGGAACAGUUCGAAUACCCUAAAGGUUUCAAAAUCCCAGAUUUUAGCCUUUUUGCCAGUGAAUCGUCCCUAUCUUCGUUAGAACAUGUGGCUCGUUUUACCGAGCAAUGCGAAGAUUUUAAUAGUGACUUUCAUAAGCUACGACUGUUUAACUUUUCGUUGACCAGCUCAGCAUUUGCCUGGUAUAUUAACCUCCUUCCUAAUUCCAUCCAAAGUUGGGAGGAGUUGGUCGAGAAAUUUCACGAGCAAUUUUAUCGGCCAGGGAUGGAAAUGUCAGUUUCUUCAUUAGCAAGGAUGGCUCGAGCAUCUGAUGAGUCACCAAUGGAUUAUCUUACCAGAUUCAAAUCGACCAGGAAUUGGUGCCGAGUGCCUCUACCCGAAGUCGAAUUUGUCAGACUCACUCUGAACGGCCUCGAUGUGGAAUACAAAAAGAAAUUAUUGGGGGUAAACUUUCGGGAUAUGUAUGAACUAGCCCAGCAUGUCGAGCAAUAUGAUUAUUUGCUCCGAGAAGAGAAGAUCUCGAAAUCCCCAUCCAGAGGGACGAUAUACAUAAAUCCCACAGUUAGUUAUGCAUCGACCGAAGGCGAAGAGUCUCAGUACAUCAGCAUGGACGCGGCCGACAUAGUAAUAGAUAAACCAUACAUUUGCAAGGUGUUGACUCAAAUUAAUUCCAAGGAUGCCAAAAUUCGCUCAACCACGAAGGGAACAACGAAAACUUCAAAAGUUUACACCUUUGAUAUUACAAAGGCCGAAGCGAUUUUUGAUCAAUUGCUAUCAGCAAAAAUCAUUAAGCUUCGGCCAGGGCACAACAUUCCCACAGCCGAAGAGCUUAAAGGAAAGACAUAUUGUAAAUAUCAUAACUCCACCAAGCAUGCCACAAACAAUUGUGUCGUAUUUCAUGAUGAUAUCCAAAGUUGGAUUAACAAAGGCAAGCUAAAGUUUCCUGAAAACCACAUGACGGAUGAUACGGAUCCAUUCCCUUCAGCAACAGUCAACAUGGUAGACGUCCGCUUGCCCAAAAGCAAAGGAAAAUAGAAGGUUGAAUUUACCCCAGUACAACACAUCUGGAAGCAAAGCUCCCAGCCUCGACUCAAGAUAGAUCUAUUUUCCAAUACGCCACCUAUCGGGCUAUCAGGACUAGCCAUAGUCGAACCAAUGUCGAACUACAACAAUGAAGAAAAUGAUGGGCCAAUAGUACCACAUAUCCUAAAGAAAGGUUCCCAACCUCGACUCAAGAUCGACUUGUUUUCUAAUGCACCACCCACCGAACUCUCAGGACCUGCCAUAGUCGAGUCCAUGUCAGACUCCAGCGAAGAUGGGAAUGGCAGGCCGAUAGUUCUGUGUAGCAAUUGUAAGGCACGCAUUGUAUUGACCGAACCCAAAGGGAAACUAUGUCCGAUACAGAUGCCAACAUUGCAACACCAAUUGGCUAUUACAACAAAACCUUCAAAAGAACCUAGUGAAGCCAGCGCCAGAAAGUAUUCGACAGACUCGGCCCAAGAAAAUAGACAGAUGGACUUACAUCGGUCAGACGGCGCCUUGAUUUAAACGCACCGUUUUACAACGAUGACUAUUAUUCCCGCAAUUCCAGUAGUUCGAGCUCAUCAACAAAUCAAAAAACCUUCAAGCCACCUGAACCACAUGACCAACGUUGGUACAGCUACAAUUCUCCUACCGGCAUGUAUACCACGCUAUCCCACGCUAUCCAAAUCCCAGAAAUGUUGACGUCAGCGCAUAGAUUACUUGGCUCGACGACAAGUUGCCCAGCCUAUCUCAGCCACUAAAUGGCAGCCGAAAGAGACGGUAGGAAGCAGAGAUGAUCGGCCCCAACAAUCAUGGUUGAAUUACAAGGACAGAAGGAAACUAAUCGGGACUUCGAAACUACCAUUGAAGCAGCCAAGAAGUGCAUCAAGCUUCUUCUUCUGCCGAGCUCCCUUUUUCUCUUGACGACCUUCAACACCUUCGAUAUGACUUCGAAGUCUUUUCGGCUGUCUUCUUGUUCGAUUUAACGACCGAUGAGACAAAACGGGUGGCACGUCUGGACGUUUACCUGGACACUAGGAACGCCCGGAUCGCCUAUGAAGAACAUGCUCGCCAAAUACGGCAGGAUCAGAAUCCAACGCCAAAUGCAUGCAAGUCCGAAGACGACAAUCAACAGGAUACAGCGUCGGAUUGUGUGACACAAACGCCUAAAUAUGUGGAGACAUAUAGUGAAUUGGCCGCUAAUGCUCCAACACACAAUGAUAUAGUCAUCCCCACUCUGGAAGAUGACGACCAAGAUCCAAUAGGCCUUUCAGUCCUUGUAAAUAUGGAAAUCAGCAUGGUCCAUGUCCUCCCUGCCGAAUUUCAGUUGACUACAGACUAACCAAGUUCCUUGGACGACGAUGUGGUCGCCGAGGAGAUAACACAGGUUGAUUUCGUCACUACUCCUGAAGACGAGUCAACUAACGGUGAUGAUAAACUUAAAACAGCCUUGGACAUCUUGUUUCCCCGUUCCUCCUCGACUAAUCUUCAACAUUUGAAGCCAUUGUAUGUAACGGCCCAUAUCAAAUGAUAUCCAGUAUCUAAAGUUUUUUUCGACUGUGGAGCCACUGUCAAUAUCAUGCCUGUAAAUAUCAUGAAGGCGUUACGUCGCUCUAACGACGAACUUAUUCCAUCGGGGAUCACCAUGAGCAGUUUCGUCGGAGAUAAAUCCCAAACCAAAUGGGUGCUUCCUUUAGAGGUAAACAUCGCCGGUCGUAAUCACAUGACUGCCUUCUUCAUUGUCGACUCCAAGACUGAGUAUAAUGCACUGCUCUGUCGAGAUUGGAUUCAUCAAACAAGUUGUAUCCCUUCGUCAUUGUAUCAAAUGCUCAUCUUAUAGGACAACAAAUCGAUCAUCGUUCAUCCGGUCGAUAAUCAGCCCUUCGAAGCUAACAUGAUCCAAGCACGGUAUUAUGAUGACCAUGUCGGCUACAUCACCCUACAAGGUUUCAAUGAUGAAGGACGGCCGACUCAGAUUUCUGUUCAGAAGGCUAUCGAGGUUGGCGCCGAAACUAUACACCAGGAUUCGGUGAGACUCGGGUUAGCCGUUUUCAUUCCAGAUCCCGAUGUUUGACACCGAUCUGGAAAAAUGUCGGGCCGCGGUUUCAUCUACUAUGGAACGACUGCUGGCUCAUUGGAAUACUAUAUCUAAACAACCAAAUUCAGGCAUUAACCUCAUAGAGUUCCUCGUCGAAGGAGAUAAUGGUCCUGCCUUGUCUCUCGACCAAAUUCAAGCCGUCCUGGUCGAGCUCGAAGAUAAUCGGCCCCAAGUCAAGGACCCGUUUGAGGAAAUUAAUGUUGGGACGGCCGAUGACCCUCGGCUUUUAUUCAUUAGUGUUUUGCUCCCCCAAUCUAUGAAAGCCAAACUUUGUGUUCUGCUCGAAAAGUUUAAAGAUUGCUUCGCUUGGAGCUACCACAAGAUGCCGGGACUCGAUCUCACUCUCAUCGAGCAUGAGUGACGUAUUAAACCAGGAUGUAAACCUUUCCGUCAACCAUCUCGUCGAUUCUCGACCGAAGUGCAACUCGAAAUCAAGGAUGAACUUGUUCGACUUCUGAAGGCCGGGUUCAUCCGGACAGCUCGAUACGUUGAAUGGUUGGCAAAUAUUGUUCCUGUCUUAAAGAAAAAUGGUACUUUGCACGUUUGUAUCGACUUUAGAAAUCUGAAUCUGGCAACUCCUAAAGAUGAAUACCCAAUGCCGAUUUCAGAUUUGUUAAUCGAUGCUGCAGCAAAUCAUGGGCUCUUAUCUUUUAUGGAUGGACAUGCCGGAUAUAACCAAAUUUUCAUUGCCGAAGCCGACGUCCAUAAGACCGUCUUUCACUGCCCGGGGGCACUCGACACAUACGAAUAGGUUGUCAUGCCAUUCGGCCUCAAGAACGCUGGGGCCACAUACCAACGAGCAAUGAAUACCAUCUUUCAUGAUUUGAUCGGCAUUAUCGUCGAAGUUUACAUUGACUAUGUUGUAAUCAAGUCAAAAAGUUGGCAGACCUAUCUAGAUGAUCUACGAUAGGCCCUCAUCCGCAUGCGCCAGCAUAACCUUAAAAUGAAUCCUGCCAAAUGUGCUUUCGGCGUGUCCGCAGGUAAUUUUUUAGGUUUCCUAGUGCAUCACCGUGGGAUUGAAGUAAAUGAAAAUAAAGCAUGUGCAAUCAUCAAUGCCCCAUCACCGACGACGAAGAAGCAACUAUAGUCCUUGCUCGGCAAGAUAAAUUUUCUCUGCCAAUUCAUAUCAAAUUCGACGGGCAAAAUGAAAACGUUUUCUACGUUGUUAAAACGUAAGGACUCCGACAAAUUUGAGUGGGGUGACAAGCAUCAAGCGACUUUUAUGCAAAUCAAGGUCUCUCUUACAACGCCCCAUGUUCUCGUCCCACCUCGGUGCGGUAAGCCUCUCAAGCUAUAUAUUUUGGUGGCCGAAUAAUCCAUCAGUUGUCUUCUUGUGCAAGAUAACGAAAUCGACCGAGAACAAGCCAUUUUUUACCUUAGUCGAAAUCUCAACCAACUGAAGAUCAAUUAUUUUACCGUCGAGAAGCUUUGCCUCGCUUUAUUUUUUGCCGCAUCAAAGCUUAGGCAUUACAUGCUCCCAUUGGUCACCCAAGUCAUUGCCUAGACCGACGUCAUCCACUACAUGCUCACUCUGCCAAUAGUAAAAGGUCGAAUUGGGAAAUGGAUAAUGUCGCUGUUCGAAUUAAGCUUGCAAUAUGUGCCCCAAAAAGCUGUCAAAGGUCAUGCACUAGCUAAUUUCUUCACCCACCAUCCCUCACCGUAUAGCUUCGGGGGCAACGACACUGAAAUCGGCAUGGUUGAAACGUGCGAUAAUUACUGGACGAUGUACUUUAAUGGCUGGAGUACUUCAUCUUCGGCUGGUGCUGAAAUUGUUAUUCAAUCCCCACACCAUGAUCGGUGGUACUUUUCACUCAAACUUGAUUUUGAUUGCACAAAUAAUCAGGCUGAAUACGAAGCCCUUAUCAUCGGCCUUAUAUCCUUCAUGACUUAUGGGUGACUCAUGCCCUCAUCUUCAGCGACUCUGAACUUGUGAUUAACCAACUUAAUGGUUCUUUUCAGUGCAUGAGUUGUACCCUGGCACCUUACCAUAUAGUUGCUAGUUAUUUGGCCGAAUCCUUCGACGGUAUUACCUUUGAGCAUAUUACCCAGAUUCAUAACACCGACGCGGAUGAAUUGGCUCAAAUCGCCUCCGGUGCACAGGGGCAAGCUAGGCCGAGAAAUACCCGUGUUACGAUGGUUAUACCCGACCUUGGUUAACCAGUAAGUCCUCCGACGCAAUAACGUGAUACGCACAAAAGUCAUGUCUUUACCUUCGUUGUUAGACCGACAAGACCCUAUUGAUACUUGUGCCAUCGAGGUAAUACCAAAUGACUGGUGAAGGCCCAUUAUGCGGUAUCUUGACAACCCCAAUGCCAAACACGAUCGCAAGACAAGAGUUCAUGCCACAAACUAUGUUGUGUAUCAAAACGAGUUAUACCGAAAAGGUAAGGAUGGUUUAUUACUGCUAUGCCUCAGCCCCCAAGAGGUUGCUCAGGCAAUCACAAAGGUCCAUGAAGGGAUUUGCCCGUAGGAAUUAAAGACCCCAGGUUCGGCAAAUGGUUGCCAAAUUGGGAAGGGCCGUUCGUCAUACAUAAGGUUCUAGGCAAAUGCGCAUAUCAUCUUAGAGACCGGACCGGUUUAGUUCACAGAUUACCAAUCAAUGGGAAGUUUUUAAAUAAGUAUUAUCCGAUCACAUGGGAAAUGUGGGAAUAGAAAUUCAUUUCAUUAAGAUUGAUAAAAGAAUACACAUAUUGAGUAGGUCGAUCAGGUUACAUUCAAAUAAAUUCAGGGCGAAGAAGGGAGAAGAGUUUUAAAAACAGCCUUCAGCUCCAGCCAUCUCACUUCGUCCAUUAUGACUUCAGCUUGCCGAUUCCGCUUGUCCAUCUUUAGCUGCUCAACUUCCUUGACUUUAGCCGCGUAUUCGGUUAAACAAGAUUUACCACUCGACUCAAAGUCUUUCGCAAGAUCAGAAGCAAUUGCCGACCUUUGAGUUUGGAGUUCGGCAAUUUGGGGGUCGAUGUCGACCAGUUUCUCUUUCUUCGACUUUAAGGCUCCAAUUUUUGGGCAAAUGGCGUCUCAAGCAACAAUCGCAACCUUCAGGUCAGCUUCGGCAUGGAUAGCUUUUUCAAAAACAACAAAAAACUCUCGGGUUUGCUCCAAGGUAGAAGACAUUUGAGUGAUGGCUUCAGUACUCAAGGGACCUUCAACGGCGAGAUCAUUAAAACACUCACCCACGAAGUCGAGACCCUUGUGUUCAAGAAUUUGUGAAGUUGAAAAAGAAAAGAGUUAUUGUAGCUUAACAAGCACGUUGUAUUCAGCUGUCGAGGAAGGCCCAGCUGUGGUCGCCGAAGGGCCAGCCGCCUCCGAAGUAGUCGAGAAAAGGGCGUCAAAUUCGACUUCCCAUGAAGGCUUCAUGAAAAUCAGUCGUCAAAACAAGCUAAAUCUUCAGAAAAUAAGAAGGCGAAAUGAUAGACCUGCCGAGAAGAGACUUCGGCCAUGUCUGCUGGUUCGUUGCUUGAACCCAGAGAGCUCAAUGGCUAAGCCCAAUGUUUUAAGCUACUUCUCAAUUCACACGGCCGAUGAAGGUUAUCUACAUUUGACGGCCACUGAGGUGGCCAAGAGAUAUAGAUAACGACCCUCGGCGCAUAAAUUUUUUGGUGAAAUGAAAACGCGGGCACCUGACAUUUAAUAUUUUUCUGGUUUAGAAUUCUUAGGCAGGCGAUUGAGUAAGAGAAUAAUAAUAAGGGUGCUUACGUAGGUAGAAGUGGCUUCCUGUGGAGGGAUGCCUAGGUUUUGAUCUUGUGGAUGAAUUGGCGUCUCCGCCAUUGCUUCAAUUUCAACGGCAAGACCCUUUCCAUGAUCGACCGCAGGAGGAUCAACCUGGCCGAUCGUUUCGACCGCAGGAAAAUGGUUGGUUGGUCGAGGAUGAAUUUCCAGCGGAAUUUCAUCACUCUUGUCAUCCUGGAAUAAAGUUUGUUAGAAAUCCUAACAUUAAUUGAAAAAGAAAAUUAUCAACCGCAUAAUUAUACCUCCAAGAUGAUCGUUGAUUGUCUUGCAAUCUUGGAGGGUGUUUUCUUCGUCGCCGAAGUCAUUUUCUCUAAGACAGGGGCAACGAUUGGCUCCAAAGCUAUCAGUUUCUCGACCAGUGGAGAAAUGGUUGGUUCGGCCGAUGGUGGAGGAGUCGCUGGCUCGACUAGUGGAGCAGUCCUUGGCUCGAUCACGACUUGAGGGUCAGGACGAGCUUUGGGCGCCUGACCUGUCGGAGCCGGCUGCACGACCGUCGGGAUACGUACGACUGGGUUGAAAGGAGAAGCAUCGGGAGUUGUUGUGCCUGUCAUUUGGCUAGAGAUGACAUGAAUUUCUCAUUGCCCUUUGUUUGCCAAUUUUUUGACGCUUUUUGUAGGACGAGGAAGUGUGGUGGCCGUCUCAGUCUCAUAUCGGGGUCGUUUGCUCGGCUUGGAAGAGGGGAUUACCUUUUUCUUAGCUGAAAUUGCAGCCACCGCUUCUACCUUUUUCGAUGCUCGGCUGCCUGAGAAAUUAAAGCUAAGUCAAUAACAAUAAGGAUAUAUAUAUCUAAAUAUAUAAAGGAAGUUAUAUACCAUGGGUAGCUACUUUAGGUUGGGGAGCAGGAGCCUUGUGGGGACAAUCGCCGAAGGCAUCGAUGCUAAACGAUUCUGGAGUGACCUGUCGAAGGUGGAAUUUUUGGCAUCAUUCCUGGAACUUCUUUUUCGUGUCCUUGCAUUCCUUAUCUGAAGAACCAGGUUCGCGUCCACAGCUUAGGACGGAUCGUGAGAAGAGAAAGGGGACCAGGCAACCUUUGAGGUAGCCAAGCUACCGAGCGAGGAAGUUGGGAUGAUACACUUCCUAACCCGCUCGGCGACCAUCACAACCUAGAGGCAGGUCGCGGGUAAGCACGAAAGACCCCCAGGUUUGAUGAAGGUCACCAUCUUCAUCUGCGCCCCACGCUGAUGUAAGAAACCUGAUCGACGAAGGGUAUUCUCGACGACAACAGAUCAAGAACUCGUCGUUAGAAAGGUCGUCGAGAGUGAAAAAGUAUCUGAACACCUCUUCAGCUUGGUGAUGGGGUGUUGGCCGAGAAGCUAGCUGAGGGCUGAGCGCUUCCGUGGGCGAGAAAUCAACAAUCGUUCGCCGAUAAGGGACAAAGAAGACCUGCAGCCAAAGUUGGAAGACCCAAAACGAACCAUUCUGGUGCGGGUCGACCUUAUCUAAGGUCGUCUCGGCCAAGCAGCGUAGGAGAUGGGCGAGAAUGGUCGGGCUGAGUGACAGAGUAUAACCGCUAGCUGGGGCUUUGGCCACUGACAUGUUCUCAACCAGACACUUAUUGGAUUUGGUACAACAGAUAAAUUUGUUAUACCAAUAGAAAAGGAAAGCCUCCAGUUCCCCUUCUCGCAGAGCCUCUUCUCCUCGACCGGUAAAAUGGAGAUAAAUGGUGUUAUAGUUAAGGAAGUUCUUGUGAAGUUUUUGAACCUCUUCUUUCAAGGGUGCUUUGCCUUUACUGCUUAGCAUCUCAAGGGCCCGUUUGUCGAAAAGCGCCUUCAGGUCAAGGUUCGACGGGUACCCAGAGAGGGCGACGUCAAUUGGGAUUCCAGUCGGGGAAGUCCCCAAGAUGGCAGUAAUGUUAAGAAUGGUGGGACCAAUGGGGCCGAGAGGGAAGACCAUAGUGUUGGUGGCUGAACACCAGAAACAUAAGGUUGCUAGGAGGAGCUCCUUAUCCAGGACAACUUCCAUGGAUGAAAGGUGAAUGGCCUCGUAGAUGCCUAGGGCUUUCCAUUGCUCGCCGAAGAGUUUUUCCAUUCAUACGACCCAAGCUGCCCAGGCUGUAGUGGUCGAGGGCCAUGAACCUUGAGGCCUUGUCAAGUCUCACUUCGACUAUUCAAACCCUUACAGCAAGGGUGAUAGGCAGUGCUUCUUGAGAAGUCCAGUGAUGGUUGGUGGUACCACCGCUUUGAAGAGAGGACCAAGGAUUUGAUGAGGGGUGCUCGUGUCACUUUCAAAACGUAUGGUUUUGAUCGAACUUCGAUCAAUAAUUUUCUGGCAUUGGUCACAUUCCUUGGAAAGCUUGGAAAUGAAGAAGGCCAUUGUAAGUGGGUUGAAGAUGCGACAUGAGAGGAGUUUUCUAGGUUGGGGGUUUGAAGAUGAAUAUCUGGAAGAAUGGGAUUCACUGGAGAGUGAUGGCAAGAAAUUUCAGAGAAUUUGAAAGCGUAAAGUACAAAUGAGAGAACUUUGGUAUUUAUAGAAUUGUGGAAGGAAGGGUAAUUGUUUGAAAUUCAAAAUGAAGGGUAAAAUCGAUCGAAGAAUUCACUAAUCAUUAUGAACAUUCAGAUAAUCCAGUUGAGAAGACCGGUUUCGUGUUUUAUGGGGCGUACGAUUGCGUGUGGCGGCCAGAUUUAUGGUGAAAGACGUUUUGACGUCUGCACGAUGUUGAAUGGUUCGCGGAUCAAGGUGGCAUGGUUGUGUUCAGCAACAAGGUCAUGAUGGUAAGAUGGUUCAGUGAGCCUUACGCUUUAAACGUCAUUAUUAGGGAUUAGCCGUGUUAAAGAAUGCCACGUGGUGUAUUGGUCAGCAGGAUCAAGAUCGUGCAAUCGUACUCCAUAAAUGCGCCUUGGAAAUAGAGUAUUUGGAUUCUGAGUAUUAGUUUCGCUUCUUCAAGGUCAAAGCUCGACCAGAGAAUUUAGGUCGAAAACCUCAGAAGCGAGGGGGCAAUGUUUGGGCCCAAAAUAUUUAGUUUGGGCCGAGUGUGGAAUCAUUCUCGGCCCGGAAUAAUUUAUUGUUAGGGGUCGUCUUGUUUAUGGGCCACUUAAUUAGAGUUGGUCGAGCCCCAUUAGGAAAAUAAGCGGCCUGGAUAAGGAAGAGGCGUGGGAAAUUCUGCGGUUAACAAAAAUCCUGGUGUGAUAAGGAGUCCCGGUGAGAUGAGGAGGUCGAGACACAUUUUGAAUAUGGCCUGGUAGAAAGGUUAGGUUCAAAAUCCUGAUGGGAGUAGGAGUGUUAGAGAUGGUGUUUGACUUAAAGAAGAAGCCCUAAUCCGAGUAGGGUUUAACUACUUGGAUUAACUCUACUUAGGAAGUAUUUGAUACUAUAAAUAGAGGAGGUUAUGCAUUGUUCAAGCUUCUUCCAAUUCAACACACAACUGCCCUGCGCAAACUCUCUCAACAACUUUGAGAUUUUUAUUUUCUCUUUUCGCUGACACAUCUUCCGUUGGCAUCAACAGCACUGUGAAAGCAACCGGUGAUAUCUUCAGUCGGCAUAGAUAGCUCUGUCGCCGUAGAAUCAGCCGAUCUCGCAGCAUCUUUCGUGGCAUCAACAGCACUGCGGCGAUGGCAGUUGGUUACCUAUCCAAGUCUCGGUCGAGAAGGAUUUCUGAGUCCUUAUUAAUCGAGGUCAUCUCAUUAGCUUUCUCGGCGAAGUGAGGUGUUACAGCUUACUAAGCUCGGCGCAUUGCACACCGAGUUAUUUUAUAAUUGGAUACUCUCAAGUGGGAUUUAGAGUUCGGCAUUCAGACGGCCGAACCACGUUCACUAUUAAGACUUAUAUCCGGUUUGAGUAUUUGUGCCUUUACACUUUGGUGUUGAUUCGGUGUAUGUUUACUUUAACGAAUACCAUCACUGUGACUGAAUCCAACGACGACGAUUCAUGAACUUCGUAAGAAUAGUAGCCUUGUCUUCAGGUUCGAGAACCCAAGAGGCCGAGACGUGUUCCUUCCUUGGUUGCAAUCGCAAGACGCAGAAGUCAGCCACGCACCCAACGCAACAUCAACAAAUUUUACUCCUCAGCCAAGCUCGGCCAACGAGUUGGCACACCCUGCAUUCAACCGAAUGACGUAUUUAGCUUAUAGAUUACUCGACCUGCGCACCACGUAGGCUUGGUAAUUUUUAGGGUCAACAAGUUCAUAUGCAGACUACUUUCCUUUUCGGACUGUAGACCCUUUAUAUGUACAUAGUCGAGCUCAAACAGUACCACAUCAUGUUAUAUUCUGCCGUUAAAGAAAAAUUAAAUUAAGGAAAAUUAAAAUGGUAUAUAGUAUUGUCCAAUCUAAAACGGUGAAGAUAUGAUGGUCCUUGCAGUUUAGAUAAGGUUUCACUUUACUCCAUGUAUUUUAAGUUUCACAACGUAACCUUUUUAAUUAUUAUUGUUGUCUGAACAAACUAUUAGUCUGUAGUAUCAUUUUUUAGUGGUGACUUUAUGUGGUAUCGCUCUUCAUAUGACUGUGUUCUCGCUCAUCAGCGAAGAUCAGUGUGUGCACUGGUAUAGGUUUGUCUCGUCCAUCGUUUUUGGGACAUUGUAUUGGUUCACCUGUACUUGUAGUGGCCGUGUAUGAGUUUUUAAUUAAUUGCUUAUUUGUACAAAUUCACUGCAGAUCAAUGUAUUGGUCACUGGAGCAAUGUACUCAAUUGACACCCUUGUAUUUGUUUGUGAUGAUGAAUGGCAUAUUGCUAUUGUUUCUUGUAAAAAAAAAUUGAAAAAGGACAUAUAUAUAUACACCUUAAUUUCAUUAAAAAACUUCUACACAAUUAGCGUGUGAGUGACACCAAAGGUAAAUUAGACGUUUGCAAGGUGUACAUCUCUCAUUUCAGAGCACUAGAGAUGGCGACUCAAUGAGAAGAUUUCAAAACAAGGGAGAUGGUGAUGUCGUUAACGGCACUGCAAAACAUGGAUAGAAGGCUACGGACAGAUGGUGAUAUCUAGUUUUGUCAACAAAAUCGAUGCUUUUUCGUCUUCUCCUCCUCUAUUUAAUUUCUCGUUACACGUAAAGUUACUAGAUAAUAUCCUAUUUGUUUUCUUAGAAGAAUUCAAAGAAAGGAAAACUAACGAAAAAUUCAAAAAAAUUUAUUUUUUUAACGAAAAAGCCUUUUUUAAAUGUAUAGUGAAUAGUGUCAGUUGAAGGUAAAAAUGUGGUUUUUCAUUAAAAGUGAACAAUAUCGAAGUAUUUUGUUAAAACUCCCUUCAAAGAAUUGAAAUAGGCCAAACAAUUCGUUUUUGCAGUCAACAAAACAAUGCCAACGAAGAAAAAAUUAAGGGAUUCCAUCAAAUAUUUUUAAUGUUUAAUUUGAUUUUGUUUUUAUGUUGAUUUAUAAAAGUCUUUUUGUUUUCUUAAGUAAUUAACUGUAAGGGUAAAAUUCUCAUUUUAUGAUAGAUUUUUUAUCAAAUGAGUUUAUACGAAAGUGAAUUAAAAAACAAUGUUAGGUAGAUCACAUUUAGUGUACCACAUGAUGUGACAAGUGAUUUGUACAUAUCAUGUCAAUUAAUAAGUACAUAGUCUAAUCUAGCAUUAUUCGUGAAUUAAAACUUUAAGAGAUUCUAGUGCAAUUUUUAUAAGACAACAAAUUUCAGGAUUGUUAGUGAAACUAAAAUAAUAACAGUAAUAUCAAAGAAUGGUGGUUAAAAGUUGGCCAAUGUGGAGCUGAGCUGCCACCCCUCUACUUGAAGACUGUUAGUUCAAAGAAUGGCGAAUGGAGGUUGGUUCCACACUUUCCACGUACCCAGUCGAAGAGAAUUGUGUUGAAUGACUGUCACCUUUUGAAUGAAACUUCAGCUUUAUUUAAUAACAAAAUCAACGUACACAGCAAUAAACAAACUGAAAAAGGAAAAAGAUUAUAGCAUAGCACAAGGAGUCCAGGACAACUUGCAUAUUCAGAAAGCCUUGAGCAAAAGAUCACAGUACAAUAUCGUAUCCAGAAAUUAGAAAGCCAAGUUAUAUGCAGGAGAUCGUAGGGAGGAAAGACAGAUUGCUACUAUGGUGGUGGGUUUGGGAAUAGAAGUAAUGGUGGCAUUGGUGGGGCUCUGGGCAGUCUGUUUGCGGCCAUUUCUAUUUGCAUUUGCAGGAGAGAUGGUGGAUGUCAUGAAGUUCCAUGUACGCGAGCUAAUUAGGAGACGUACCCGUAGGCGCUCUCUUUCAUCCUUCCAAUAGUCACAGUCGGGCGAUAUAACAAGCGCUGAUGCUCACCAGAAAAAGUGGACUUCUGGCGGACUUCAGCAACUCAUCAAGUGAAUAAAUAAGGGAUGUCCUUUUAGCUGCUCUAUAAUCCCCAUUCUCUUCAACAUUUUUCACUUAUAUUGUAUCGAAGAGGAAUUGGCCAAUGAAUUGAUAACAUGAUAUACACGAGGGUGUAAUUUUUGCAAUGUUUGGAUUUAAUUAAGGAACAACGUAGUAGUUUUGACAUGUAUUGUGCUUGUACAGUAUAUGGAUAUAUGCAUUGUUAAUUAGUUAAUUUUAUUGCGAGGUUUUAUUUAACAUGAGUAGUUUUCAGCGCCCAUGAGAUUAGAACGGAACUUCUUCGCAUGGCUAGCUCAGAAUCCCAAUCCCAGUAUUGCCAUUUCUGGUUUGACUUGUUAUUGAUUAAUUGUGUUGUCAUGAGAGGUUUCCCUUUAGGUAUUUUGAUAAGAGAAUUGAAUUAUUGACUUGUCAUUUAGCUUUAAUUUUUGGGUUAUUUACACAAUUUAUAGAAAGACAUUCUAUAACUCCAACUAAUUUAAUUGUCAUACAAAGUUCAAACACCAUACAUUUAUAUAGUUGGGUUUUUUUUCUUUCUAUAAUUCAAUUUUUUUUCUUGAAUUUCAACCUCAAAUAGAGUGGUUAUUAAUAAGAGUGGUAUUCUUAAUUGGAUUAUUUUUAUAGGCAGACGUCAUUAAUCCUUGAAUAUGAUCAAUUUCCGUUGGAGUUGCUCAUAAACCACCUUAAAUGUGUUUAAAAAGUUGGCCUGGCAUGAGUUUUCUAAAAUAUCUCAAAAUUUGAGGAAUUUGUCAGCGAUGCAAUCUGAGCGGGCCGCAAGUUAACAAGACUGCAGAUACUCUCUCUGUCUCUGUCUCUCCAUACUCGGUCUAUCCACCACGCACCCCAACCCCCAUUCCCAAUCAACUAUCAAUCCCCACUUCCUUGACUCGUACAUAAGUCUCAUCUAGAUUCUCUUUUGAGGUCGACCAGGAUAGCACUUUGACUACCGAACAUUCAGAGCCUGUAUUCUUCCAACGAUAGAAUUAAUAAUAUGAAUUCGGUCGUUUGAUGCCUCUCGUAUUAAAUAGCACCGAACUAUAUAACCGGUCCCACAAUAUCGUCCAAAAGACGUGUAUUAUUAUUCGGCCGUCUUCUCUUUCCUCUCUCGUGAACUCGGCUGCCCAUCUGAAUUGAAGAUUUGGUAUGCCGUUCUUCCUUUUGCUCUCCAACCCAACAACAACUCUCUAGCUUUGAUAGUGUUUUAUAUGGUUUGUAUGUUUGAUUGAUUUGUGAGGAAGGAUAUGCAAACGAAAUGAAGAAUUAUCACAGAGAGAAUUUCAGAGAAAUGACAACUAACAGGCUGUACAUUGCAGCGGCUCCCAACAAAAAAAACUAUUAACUUUCGACAAGAAAAAAAAACAAAAAAAACAAAAACAAAAAAACAAAAACCAAAAAGCUAUUAACUCUUUUGGACAAACACAAUCUCAGCCUUACAUUGAGGCUUUUAAUCUAGACCCUACAUUUGUCGCUUGACUAUUCAUCACCAUCAUCAUCACAACAACAACAGCUAGCAACAAAAAGCUAACAACUCUUUUGAACAUACACAAUCUCAGCCUUUAUUGAGGCUCUUAAUCUAGACCCUACAUCUAUCACUUAACUAUUCAACACUACAACAACAACAAUGACUAUUCGACACCACAACUAGCAACAAAAUGCUAACAACUCUUUUGGACAAACACAAUCUCAACCUUACAUUGAGGCUCUUAAUCUAGACCCUACAUCUGUCACUUAACUAUUCGACACAACGACAACAACAAAAUACUAAUUGUUAGAUUAUAAAUGAGAAAAACUAGCCGUAUGACUCUUGUAGCUGCUGAUUCUUCUUCUUUUAGGAAUCCAUAAACCAUUUAAGUUCCAACACUCAUUUCUAAAUUCUUUAUGGUUUUGACUCCAAACUGAUCUCUGAGGUAGGUGAAUCUUUCCUUUGGCAGUGUCUUAGUAGCCAAUUGGUUUCAUUUCUGCAAUAUAGUAACUCAAUGAUAUUCUCCUGCAAUGCAUCUCUAAUGAAGUGAUACUUCCUUUAAUGUGUCUUGUCUUCUGAUGAAACACAUGAUUCUUAGUCAUUGCUAUGGCUGAGGUACAAUCACACAUCAAUGGUGUUGGAUCGACUUGCAGCUCACCAAAAUUCUUGAGAACAAACUUUAACCAGAUUGCCUGUGAUGUUGCUUCUAUAACACUUAAAUACUCAACUUCUUGUGGACAGUGCAACAUUUUGUUGCUUGACUGAGACCCAAGAGAAUGUACUAGAACCAAAACUAAAUGCAUAAGCUGAUGUGCUCUUCAUGUUACCUUCAAUUUCUCCUCAGUCACUAUCAUAUAAGCCAACUAGAAUUGCAAACCGGCCUUUUUCAUAUCUGAUUCCAAAAUCAAGUGUUCAUUGCACAUACCAUUUUACUGUGGAGACUUGAAUCAACUAGUUCGCUACCAUUAUCAUUUUUUAGUUUCUCAAUUGCAAUCAGAGGGGUACUCACUAGUUUACACCUAUUGGGGCCAAAUUUUUCCAACAAUGUUUUAGCAUACUUCUUCUGAUGAAUGAAGAUGUUGUGGAUUCUUGCACAACUCCAAGUCCCAGAAAAUAAUGUAGAUGCACCAAAUAUGUCGUCUUAUACUUCUUCAUCAUUUCUUCCUUGAAUUCAUUUACCAUUUUCUCACAGUUUCUUGUGCCACAUCAUCAACAUAGAUUGAUUAAAUGAGUGUAUUUGAUCUAUUUUUUGUCGUGGUAUAGGGUGUUGUCCAUUAGGAUUCUUCUUGAAGUCGCACUUAGUGAAAGGAGAGUCAAUUUCACUAUACCAAGCUUUUGAAGCUUGUUUCAAGCCAUAGAGUGCUUUCUUGAGUUUGUAGACCUUGCUUUCAGGAUUUUCAACUUCAAAACCUUGUGGUUGGUUCACAUACACUUCAUCUUCUAGAACACCAUUUAGAAAAGUUGAUUUCACAUUCAAUUGAUAGAAAUUCCAGAUUUUUUGUGCAACCAAUGCAAUUAGUGUCCUAAUGGUACUCAACUUUGUCACAGGUGCAAAUGUCUCAUCAAAGUUGAUUUUAGGCUUUUGUGAGUAACCUUUAGCCUCUAACCUUGCUUUGUUCUUCUACAUAGAUCCAUCCAAAUUCAACUUGGCCUUAUAGACCUAUUUUCCACCAAUCACUGGUUUAUCACUUGGUAUGUCAACUAAAUCCCAAGUUUCAUUCUUCUUUAUUAUUAAAUCUAUUCUUUUAUAACUUUCUACCAUGCUUUGUCUUUCUCUGCUUCCUAGAAGGUCUUCGUUUCAAGCACAUUGUAAUUGCAAAUAGCAUAGAUGUUCAAACUACUUAUUCUGAUCAUUAGAGUUGAACUUGGGCUUAAGCUUUGUGGUUCUUCAAUCUAAGGGCUUAAUCUUGUAGAUUAAGGAGUUUAAAGUGGAGUACUAGUUCUCACAUCUUCAUCACUUUCAUUUGUUCCAUUCUUGUUAGCUACCAACUCACUCAGUUCAACUUAGAGAGAAAUUUUUGUCAUGUUCUUCUGCAUUUAUCUCCCAAUUCCACAAUGCCUCUUCAUCAAAGAUCAGAUCUCUUGAAAAAUUAUCUUUUGUGUUUUCAUGUUGAAUAACCUAUCACCUUUCUCACUGAUUCCAUACCGCACAAGUAUACAUUUUUUGUUGGAUUCCUACAACUUGUGUCUUAAUUGCGAUAGCACAUGAGCAUAGCACACUGAGCCAAAAAUUCUCAGAUGCUUAAUGACAUAGUUUUAACCAUUGUAUACUUCAAAUGGAGUUAAAUUGUCCACAGCUUUAGUGGGACAUCUAUUCAAGAGAUACACUGCAGUUUUAAUAGCUUCUCCCAAAAAUAGAUAAGGCAUUUUUUUUCUCAUGUGAUAUAGACUUAAUUAGCCAUCUCAACUAUAAUCAUGUUCUUCCUUUCUGCAAUAUCAUUUUGUUGUGGUGAAUAUGCAAUUGUGAGUUUCUUUUCUAGGCCCAAAUCUUCAUAAAAUGUAUUGAAUUUCACUUUAGGUAUAUUCAAUGUCCCUAUCACUACCUUAUCUUCUUAAUUUGGUGUCCACUUUGCAGCUCCACCAUUGCUUCAAACUUCUUGAAAAUGUUGAAUACUUUUGACUUAACUAUCAUGAAAUACACACAACACAUCCUAGAGUAGUCAUCAAUGAAAAUUAGGAAGUAUUUGUUCCCACUAACUGUUGUAAUCUGAACUAAUUCUAGUGGUUUUGAAGCUCACCAUGCCUUUCUUGCCUCAAGUAUAUAUCUAUGAUGUUUUCCAAAUACACAUGAUUCACAAGUUUCACUGCAGUCUUUCAUUUGAGGCAGACCUUGAACUAUUGCAUAUUUUUGCAAAUUCUUCAAACCCUGCUUAUUGAAUGGCCAAUCUUUGGUGCCAUAGAUUUCCAAACUAAACCACAUUUGCCUUUCUUGCCAUCUCUUCAAAGUACCUCAAGAGUAGUAAGAAAUUUUUGUUCUUCACUUCAACUUUUGUAACCAAGUUUGGCAGUGAUCUAUAAUCAAAUAUUUCAACCAUUUUACCACCAAAUCAUAGAAAAUAUCAAUGCUCCAUCAUUUGACCAACACUAAGCAAAUUCUCAUCUAAUCCAAGCACAAUGAUUACUUCUUUUAUAUGUUUCCUCUUCUUUUGGUGUCAACGAUGAGAGUACCUCUGCAACUGCUUUUACAUGUUUUUGGAGACAAAAACUUUCCGAGUUUAUCCCUACAUCAAUUACAAUUCAAAUGCCAAUAUACAUGUUACAAGCAAUAAAACAUAUUUGCAUUUAAUUCCUAUAUUAACAUACAAAAUGCAAUAAUGGAUUCUACUUAGGUAAAAUAUUAAAUGUGUCACACAAGCUUAAUUAGGUAAAAAAUGCUUACUUGGAUUCUACUUAUCGGGUUUUAGUAACAAAAAUAAAUUAUGUCAGGUUUUAAUUAAAAAAAAUUGAAUUUCAAGAAAUAAAGUCAUAUUCAAAUAAAAAAACUAAUAACUAUCUAUUUAUAAAUAUAUUGUUGUGGCCUAUUUUAUCUGACAAGGGGAAGGGGGCCGGCGGCAAAGAGAAAAGAGAGAGAGAGAUAUGUUUGUAGAAUUGUGUAGAGGAAUAUGUGUGUUAUUCCCCCUACAUAGUGCCUUUAUUUAUAGUAAUAAGAGGUAGAAGAAAUCCUUCAUCCCUAAGGAAUACAAGUCUAUAUAGGAAAAAAUAACUAGAAUCAAAUCUAAUCUAGGAUUUACACAAUCACACUUAAACUAGAAAGUUUACAACGCUCCCCCUUAAGUCUGUAAAUACUCAAGGUAGAUUCGGCAUCAUGUGGAAAUUGAGGAAGUCGACUCGUCUACACUGAUUAUGGGAACCCGCUAUUCUCAAUAGGGUAGGAACUUGCAUAAGGAAGUAAGUCUUACUAAAGAAAACCCUAUGGCUAUGGUAAAAACCUAAGAAUGGACAAAACUCAUAGUCUAAGGAAAAAUGCGUUGAGUAAUGCAAAGUCAAAUGAAACGUUUACGAGAUGUCAUCAGGGAUAUGAUCAACCCAAGGUGGGUGCCUUGUUAAAACCUAGUUAGGUAGCAAAAACCCAACGGGAAAAAUGCUCCUAAUCCUAGGGAAAAAGUGUACAUUAUGAUCAAACAAGUACUCUUCAGGAUACUCCCCUCAGUUUGACACAAUUCCAAAGAGAACUAGCAAUGUUACAACUUAGAAAGUUUACGCAUACCAAUUCCAUGAACAAGCUCCUGAAACGUCCCCUUUGGUAGUGAUUUGGUGAAGAGGUCGGCCAGAUUGUCUUGUGAACGGAUUUGCUUAACUUCAAUCUUCUGAUGCUCUUGUUGUUGAUAUAAGAAUAAGAACUUUGGCGCAAUGUGUUUGGUGUUCUUGGUGUUGUCUUCUUUGAUGUAACCCUUCUUGAGCUGUUUGAUGCAUGUUGUGUUGUCUUCAUAGAUCGUCGUUGGGACAUCAACGAAGAGGUAAAGAUCACAGGAGAUUCGAAUAUGGCCAACAAAUGCUCUCAACCAAAAGCAUUCCCGAGUUGCUUUAUGUAAGGUGAGAAUUUCAGCAUUGUUAAACAAAGUGGCAACUAAGGUCUAUUUAGUUGACCUCCAAAAGAUUGUGGUGCCUUCAACGGUAAAGACAUGACCUUAAGAGCGCACCUUGUGCGAAUCAGAUAAGUAUCCUAUAUCGGCAUAACCAACAAGGCAAGAAUCCACUUGAGAUAAGAAUGGUGCAACAUCACUCAAGGAUCCAUAUGGAUAGAACAAGCCCAAAUCCGUUGUACCCCUUAAGGUAGCGGAAAAUGUCUUUAACACCAAUCCAGUGUAUGCAUGUUGGUGCAUUACUAUAUCUUGCCAAAAGAUUAACAACGAAGGAGAUGUCGGGUCUAUUGCAUUAAGCUAAGUACAAUAAAGCGCCUAUCGUACUUAGAUAAGGAACUUUAGGCCCCAAAAUCUCUUCAUCGUCCUCUUUCGGACAAAAGGGAUCUCGUUUUACAUCUAGCGAUCGAAUGACUAUAAGAGUACUCGAAGGCUUCGCUUUAUCCUAGUUAAAGUGGCACAACACCUUCUGGGUGUAGUUCGUUUGAUGUACUAAGAUUUCAUCUGAACAAUCAUUUAUCUCAAAACCAAGACAGUAUCGAGUCUUUCCUAGAUCUUUCAUCUCAAAUUUCGACUUCAGGUGUGCGGCAGUUCUCGGGAGCUCUUCAAAAGUUCCGAUAAGAUUCAUGUCAUUGACAUAUGCUACAACAAUCGUAAAACCGGAAUGUAACUACUUAAUGAACACAUAAGGGCAUAGUUCGUUGUUCAUAUAUCCCUGACUAGUCAAAUACUCACUUAGACGGUUAUACCAUAUUCUUCCGGAUUGCUUCAAAUCGUAGAGUAAACACUUCAACCAAAUUGAGAGCGUGUUUUGGGGUCUGGAAAUAUUUGAUCUAGUCAAUGUAAGUCAUUUGGGAACUUUCAUGUUUCAUGUAAAUUUUCGUAUCAAGAUCCCCAUAGAGAUACGCAGUUACUAAGUCCAUCAGCUUCAUACUCAAUUUUUCAGAAACUACCAAACUAAUAAGGUAGCGAAAAGUAAUCACAACCAUAACGGGUGAAUAAGUUUCAUCAUAGUCAAUCCAAGGGCAUUGUGAGAAGCCUUGCGCAACAAGACGAGCUUUGUAACAUACAAUUUCGUUCUUCUCAUAACACAUCUGAACAAAAACCCAUUUGAAGCCAACAAGCUACACAUGUGGAAGAGUAUGAGCUACAGGUCCAAACACCUUACGUUUUGCAAGUGAAUCGAGUUUGACUUGGAUUGCUUGUUUCCAGUUUGAUUGGAUUGCUUGUUUCCAGUUUGACCAAUAGGUUUUACGUCAACAUUCAUUAACGGAACGGGGUUCAAUGUCAUCGCUCAACAUGAUCUUAGUAGCUACUGCAUAUGCUAAUGAAUCGUCGAUGAUCAUCUCAUUUCUACACCACACAUCAUCUAAGCUAGCAUAAUAAACCGAAAUAUCACGAUUCUCGGAGGUGGAUUCGUCUCUUUAAGGAUGCUUCCGUAAUCUAGAAUUUCCUCAUGAGUUGGAUAGAAUGAGUAAGCGAUAGUCGAAUUCACGGUAGGCUCUUUAGGUGUCUGUGUCAUGGGUUUCCUAUUCCAAGGAUGUGAAUCAUUUGAAUCAAGAGGUCUAUCAUGCUUAUGUGUAGGGGUAAAUGAUCAGUUAGCCGCUAAUGUACGUGGAUCAGCCAAAAUGGCGUCCCGGGCCUCUAAGAGGGAAGCAUGUCGUACAUUUGGUACAUCCAUCUUUGCAAGCACAUUCGCAGCUAGAAUAUGUGAUCCUGUCACUCGCACUAUAUCGGUGAAAGCAUCUAGCAUGCUCUGAGCUAUGCUCUGGAGAUCUAAUAUGUGAUGCACUUCAGUUUCAGACAGAACGGUGUGGGGAUCUAAAUGAGACAAAGUGGGAGUCGUCCACGAUAAUUUGCGUCGUUCUUCAAGAACGUUGACGUUCUUAUCUCCCUUUACCGAUUGGAAAACUGUCUCAUAGAAAUGACCAUCCACGAAACGAGCGGUAAACAAAGUGCCUGUCAAAGCUUCUAAGUAACGAAUGAUAAAAAAAGAAUCAUAUUCGACAUAGAUUCCCAUCCUUCGCUGAGGACCCAGUUUUAUAUGUAAAGGUGGCGAAAUCGGCACAUAGAUCGUACAACCAAAAACGCGCAUAUGCGAUAUGUCGGGUUUGUAUCCAAUAACUAAUUGAAGGGUGCUAUAUGGUUGGGUCGCAACAAGCCUCAUGAAGACCAACAUGGCUAUGUGCAAUAUUGCAUUGCCCCGAGCAGCGAUCGGGAGAUUGGUACGUAUGACCAACGAUCGAGCAAUCAUUUAUAAGCGCUUAAUGAAUGCCUCUAGCAGGCCUUUUUGGGUGUGAUGUUCAACUUCAACCACAACCGUCAUGCAAUAGUCAUCAAAAAUUUUAGAUGUGAAUUCUUCAGCAUUAUCCAAUCAAAUAAGUUUGAUCAGAUAAUCAGGGUGGUGAGCCCUGAUCUUUAUAACCUGAGCCAACAGCUUGGAGAAUGCAGCAUUUCUUGUGGACAACAAGCAUACGUGUGACCAACGUGUUAAGGCAUUAACCAAAAUCAUAAAAUAUCUAAAUGUUUCGUAUAAAGGGUGAAUCGGUCCACAAAUGUCCCCCUGAAUCCUUAGUAGUAAAAUAGGAGGAUUCGAACGAAUCUUGUUUAAGAAGGCUUAGUAAUAAGCUUUCCCAUUGAACAUGUUUGACAUGCGAUUCCUUGAAUUGAUCCUAAACUUCGGGUUAGGGGAUGCUCGUGUGAUGAUUUUAGGAUACGGCGCAUCCUUAUUUGUCCAAAGUGUCCCAAACGAUCAUGCCAAAGUGUAAUUUUAUGCGCAGCCCCAAAGGUAAGGCCAACCACAUAAUGGUUCUCUAUGGGGCGUAUGGUCGUAAUAUAUAGACCAUUCAGGAUACGCUACAUCUUUUCUAGAUACGCUUCUGGCCAUAUUCGUAGGAAGUUAUGCAUAAAAAUUCAACUUCGUUUUCUACAUAGGUUUUAGUGUGGUAAUUAUUAUCUUUAAGCCUUGUUUGGCAACUCGGAUUCUACUGACUAUUUCUGUCGAAUAGGAUAAAUAGCCAUUGGAUAGUACUGACUAAAUUAGUCGGGCGUUUGGUGUAGUAUCAGACUAAGGACCAUAUUAUGUAUACUAUGUUUGGUACUGAACUGGAUAAGAAAAGGGAAGAGGGAUUUUACUGAGCUUCUACUGAGAUGGGCCUGGUCGCAUGGCUGAGAUGCUCCCACAAAAAAAAAGGGAUUCUGAGCAUCCGCAGAUGCUACUAAUUUGCUAAGAGUCAUUGCAUGUACAAUAACAAGGAAUGCAUUUUAAGGGCUUCAAGUUUGUAAUCAGAUGGAUUAGAAGAACCCAGAACAUAGUAUUGAGAAAUAAAGGUCAAGGAGAUGAAGCAAGUCAAUAAGGUCAAGGAGGACGAAGCCCAAAACCCGUGCCAUCGAAAAUUAAGGUCCAGGAGGACGGAGGCGCGAUUGAUGACCUUGUUUAAUCCGAGUCGGAGGUGAAUUAGACAACGCAGCUCAUGGAUUCUCCGAUUGAGACUCAAAUUUGAGGUCUUGUUAGUUUAUGGUUUUUGGUUCAGGGCAAGGAGGAAGGAAAAUGACGUGAGAGAUGAUGGAGCAGGGAGCGAAGCGAGGAGGACAAAGCAAGUUCUUAGGUAGUCCCGUGGUAUGCAGGGGGCCUCAUCUGGAGAGAACAAAGCAGAGAGACCGUCUAGAGAGGACCGUGUGUCUGGAGAUGAAUGAAAGAGUGUUUGGAGCGGAAGAAGAGAACCCGACUAAAUUGUACCAUGGUUUUGGAUGGUACAAGCAAGCAGGUGUAUACCUAAUAAAGUUAGUGGGCCCGGAUUAUUUAAUCUGGUGGUUAUUUAAUACAAACGGACACCAAACACCGUAUUUCGUAUUAUUAGUACUAUCUGAUGUUUUAUACAGUGUGCCAAACGAGGCCUUAAUGUCCUUGAAACUUAACAACGUUCUUCCGGAACGCGGAGAGUAAAGUGCCUUAUCAAUGGUCAAAAUUGUACCAUUGGACAACAUUAUAUGUGUCUUACUGUAUCCUUCAAUCAGGUUGGAUGGGCCUGAUAGGGUUAUCAGAGGUACAUUCUUAGGUAUGAAGUUAGUGAAAUAGAUGUGUUCAUGCAAAAUGGUAUGCGUUGUUGCACUAUCUGCCAGACAACUAACUUUCUCACUAGUCAUACCUAGAGUGAAAAAUUAAUUUGAAUCGGUCACAUGCAUAAAAGUUCUAAAAACAAAUAUCCAUUCAAAAUAAUUUUAACUAUUCAAGGAUGGAAAUUAAUUAAAAACUUAAUAUCCAAAAAAUAAAUCACCAACAAAUAAUCCAAAUAUAAAGGGAAAUUGUUCAAAAUUAAACAAAAACACAAGAAGGAUUCGGCCCCUAGGUGGAAUUCGGCCCCAAUGUCUAAAUUUCAACUAGAAAAAUAGUUAUGUCUAAGAUUCUAAUCUUCCAUAGAGGUAACGGCCUCUUGAAAGUCAGAAACCUCCAUCUUGGCAUUCUCCUGUUCGUCCACUUGCACAAAGUUUGAUUCAAAUUUCUUACGACGAGAAUGAUAUUUAGCUACAACCUUCUAGGGAGCUCGGCAAAUACGGGACCAGUGGUCUUUGGAACCAUAACGAUAGCACAUAUCCGCAUCCAUGGUUUCAGGUGCUUAGCCCUUAUUCUUAAAGUUUAGGACCUUAAGAGCGAAGUUGGGGCGUUUUUGGGCUUUGUUUCCUCCCUUAGAUGGGCCUUGGCUCGGUUGACCUUGUCGAGGUGGCUUCUGGCUGCCCCUACCAUGCCUCUUUUGGCGUUUCAGGCGUUGGUUCGUGCUAUAAUGUGUUUUAGGCACAACAGUCGCCUCAGUAAGUCUAGCGUGAUCAUUCUUCAUCAGCAGCUGAUUCUGCUUUUCAGCGAGAAGUAAAACAAAGAUCGAAUCCGAAAACUUAGUGAAGUUCUUAGCUCUAUAUUGUUGUUACAGGACAAUAUUAGUAGCAAAGAAGGUCAAAUAGAUAUUAUCCAGGAGAUCCUGUUCGGUCAAAGUUUUGUUACAAAACUUGAGAAGUGAUCAGAUUCGACAAACUUCAGAAUUAUAUUCAUUCAUAGACUUAAAGUCUUAGAAGCGCAAAUGCUGCCAGUCAUGUCUUGCUUCAGGCAAGAAGAUGUCCUUUUGGUGAUCAAAACCAUCAGCCAAAGCGACCCAUAGUGUUUGUGGAUCCUCCUUAGCAAAGUACUCGGUUUGCAAUGCGUCAUAAUUAUGUCUUCAGAUGAAGAUCAUGGCAGUGGCUUUCUCAGUUUCGCCAACCGGGUUGUUCAUCUAAUCUUCAAUGACGGGACGCAAAUUCUUUGCAGUGAGGUGGCUUCACAUCUUGGACCCACUUAAUGUAGUUCCUUCUAGAGACCUCCAAAGCGGUGAAGUCGAGUUUGUUCAAAUUCGACAUGUUCCUAUCACAAAAUAAAGGACAAGAUGUGAUUAGUGUAAUGGAGAAAGAAAUCAAUCCAUUCACAUAGGAGUAGAACAUUUAGGUUCUAAUAGACAUGUAUUGGUUAAAAUUCGCAUGAAAAAGCUUCGGGUUUUCAUCGGUGAUAUUUUUAAGGAAAACUUCAGGUUUUCAAACAAGGCAUGUUUAUAGAAACUUCAAGUUUUGAAAUAAUUAUGAACUUCAGGUUCAUUUGUUCCUGCAGACAAACACAAAUAUAUAUACAGAAAUAUGCAAUAAGAAAAUAUGCAAAUAGAACUUUAGAUCUAUAAUUAUAAUUGAAUUAAUUAUUUAGACUUCAGGCCAAAUUUAAAGUGUGGGUGAAACCAUUGGGCCUAAAAUAAUUAGGCAAUUAAACUUGGGGCCCAAAAAACUUGGACCAAAGCCCUCAGGUGGGCUGAGUAAAUCUAGUGUCGUGAGGUCCAAGCCUUAAAUUGGGUUGGGGUAGGCAUAGGCCUAGCUUCACAGAAAACGGGCUGUAAGUGCAAGCCCAAAAACAAAGGCCCAUACGAUCUCUGAUCUGAUGCUUCACAAACACAUGUACCCAUAGGGGACGCAAUCAUGUGCGUUGCGGUACAUGGCAGCCAUAAUAACCACACGGGCUGUGAUCCUCUGUGGUGCGAGACAGAGGAACACCGUGGCCUAGGAAGGCUGGUGUUUUAGGCCGAGGAGAGCUCUAAAGCCCAACGGGCUGGUGCUCACCAAGAACGGGCCAAGCCCACGUAGGCUUAGGUUUUGAACUAAACACCCCAACAUGCACUGGGUGAACUUCGUCGGAGAAGACGAUCGGCGCCACCGCUUCAAACAGUCGUGUCUAGGUGCAAUAAUCACGGCAAAAAACUGUGGGUUCGACGGCAACCCAUAAAAGUAAACGGAGAGUGGAGACUCUCAAAGUUUGUGUUAGAAACCCUAGGAAAAUUAAUCAAAAUUUCGAAGAAAAUUUGAUGAGAUUCAAAACGAAUCUCAGCCAAAAAAUCGUCGGGGAGGGGGAAGAUGAUCUGCAGGUCGUCAAGACGAGGACCCAAGAUUAGGAUUGGGUUAUAGGCCCAUCUGCGAGGGAAUGUGACGCCAUGGAUGAUGUCGGGUGUGUUCUGGGUUUCAAACCAGAAGCCCAUGGCUCCGGCAUAUGGUCUCGUGGAUCGGCGCAGAUCGGCCAUACAGGUUGCAGGCCUGGGCAAGUGGCUCGAGUUGCAGCUCAAGGUCAUGGGUUUGAAGAACCCUAGUGUGUUCCGAUUUCUGUUUUUUCUUUUCUUUUCUUUUCCUUUUUUCAAUUAAUUCAAAGCAUAUAUAAUUUGAAUGAAUGAACAUAUAUUUGAUGCAAUUCAUGGCAAUAUCAAAUUCACAUAGUUUAACAAUUAUGAAUAUAAUGCAUACACAAUUUAUGUAGAAUCUAAAAUUCGAAAAACAUAAAGUUGGGUCAUGCAUUAUGGUGAAAGUUCAUGCUAUCACAGUUGCAAAAAUAUUGAGAUAAAACUGUUGUUAUGGAAGAACCUGAUUGCGUGAUGAUAUGGAUGAACUGGUUUGAUGCAGAAAGCUUCCACGUCAAAUUCCUAAGCGCAACGGUAGGAGUGUGCUAAUAAUGUGUUGUGGCCUAUUUUAUCUGACAAGGGGAAGGGGGCCGGCGGCAAAGAGAGAAGAGAGAUAUGUGUUUGUAGAAUUGUGUAGAGGAAUGUGUGUGUUAUUCCCCCCCUACGUAGUGCCUUUAUUUAUAGUAAUAAGAGGGAGAAGAAAUCCUUCAUCCCUAAAGAAUACAAGUCCAUAGAGGAAUGAAUAACUAGAAUAAAAUCUAAUCUAGGAUUUACACAAUCACACUUAAACUUUCUAGUUUACAACAUAUAAUUAAUUAUAGAGAAAAACACUAAUAACAAAAAAAAAAAGCAAUCUGUAACCUUAGCAGAAUAACCAAUCCUAAAACGAAUAAAAAUACACUAGCGUAUCAGAAGGAGAUUGUGCUUGUACGUAGUUUCCGGCACCACCACCCAAUAGCUGCAUGCUUUUAUUGUGGAAAGCGUUGUAUAUCGUCCGUCAGGCGACUGACUUUUUAUAGAGUGAAGAUGGUACCAAUAUAUAUAUACACACACGUUUUAUCAUGGUCACACCAAGAAAUUACUUGUUCACAUCUUGUUUUGUGUCACUUAGUUGAUGAUUGAGUUUUGUAAUUAGUACUUUCGCCUUUACGCUAAAUGAUUGAGUUUUGUAAUUAGUACUUUCGCCUUUACGCUAAAUGCAAUCUAUAUAACUAUAUAAGUACAAAUUCUACAAAGAAACCAUACAAGUUACAAGCUCAAAGGACCAUAUAAUGUUAUGUAAUUUAUCUACAUAUUAUGUAACUUAUCUACUAAAUAAUGAUAGAUAUUGUUUUGCCCAUCAAUAAUCCACAAUGAACAAGAGAUGAAUGCUCAAGUCUCCCCACACAAAAGUCCUCUCGUCUCCUCCUUAGUUGAUUUUGCGGCAGUCUUUUCUUACUUCUCCUUUCGAACCUUCCUUGACAUCGAGGGUGCUCAUUUUCACCAUCGCCUGUUGAAAAUCUAAGAAGAACAUAGCUUGGUUGAAGGCAUAACCGUUUACAAUGUUUCUAGUUCUCGCACUGGCAAAUAGGGUUUGAUCAGAACUCAGGACUCCAGCCUUCCUUUGCAGUCCGUUGAAGUAGACAUUAUCAAAAAUGUUUCUCGUUGCAUCGAAGGGUUGCUCCGCGUUAUCGCCUGCGCUGCAUGUUUUGGCCAGUUGCUUUGCAAAGCCUGAAUCUAAAUUUGGAUCCACAGUACCACUCAAUCGGUUUUUGAAUGAGGAGCACCUGGCUACUCCUAGUGUGUGAGCACCUACAAAGUACAAAAAUAUCAAUGUAAGCAUGCAAGCAUUAAACUUAAAAUGUUCUCUAAUAUGACAAUCCGACCGUCAAUUGGGUAGGAGUUGAAGGACAUUAUUUGAAAAAGUAACAUUUUAAAUAAUCCAAAAAAUAAAAAAUAAGGGCACUAAUUGACAGAAUAACAGUAGAACAUAUCAAGAAAAUAAUACCGAAAUUUGUAGAUUGUAAAUUGGAGCAGAUAUGUGUACCAGAUAAAGCAACCAUUUCUUGCUCAGUAAAUCCAUGUUGCCCAAACAUUGUGAUGAGCUCAGAGGCAUUCAAGGUGGGUGGAGGCAGAUUUCUUGUGUCUUCUAUUUUAGACCUACUUCCAUCCUUUCUUCCUUUGGGUAUGUCAUAUACCGGACCCCCAGACUGUUGUUAUAAUGUCCCAUUAAAACAAAACUUAAGUUGAAUCAUUUCUCAAAAGACAAAUUAAUAAUAAAAUAAUAAUAAAGAAUGAACCAAAAAUUUAAUUUUCGAGUAUGCAUGAAUAACAUAGGGCAAUUGAUGAAUGAGAGAGGUGACUUCCACACAUCAUUUUUCUCUCUAUACACUUUUCUUUUAGUAUUUGAAUUGAAUAAAUCCAAAGAGAAUCAAGAAACAUUAUAAUAACAGUGUGUAAAAAAGGAAAUAAACGUGCAAAAAUAAUUUCUCGAACUUACCGCAUAAACUGCAUAAGUAGAAGCCAUUGCAACUAUGUCGGCGCAAGAGACAACACCAGGGCAUUGUUCUUCAAGUUCCUCUUUUGCAUCAUCUAUAACCUCAUAGCCACGCAAGCUCAAAUUUGCUGGGGAGUCCUUCUCAGCCUUGUUAUCUUUUGUUGAAUCCAGGAGAAUUGACGCAUCACAUCCCUAAUUAUCCAAUAGUUACAAAAUUCUAUUUUAAUUAAUAAUUGAAUAUAUGUAGUGAUCGAAUCCAUAACAAAAUUUCUUUAACUUGAAUACUUGACCAUACACAAGGGAAGAAAUUUUUUAUUUUUUUUAUUUGGGUGGGUGUGUAACGUGUGAUGAUAUGCCGAUUGGAAAGUGAUAAUAUGUGAAUGACAAGGGAAGGAGUGAAGAUAUGUAACACAUCGCACUUAUUACAAAAAAAAAAUGAGGGCCUUUUUUAUAAUCAUUUUGUUUUCUAAUUUUAACUAAAAGUAAAAGGAAAAUGUAUUAGCUACAUUUCAUGUGAAUUUCAUCUUAUCCAUUUUCUUUAAUAUAUUUCCCAGUAUCUCUAACAAAAAACCACAAACUCAAAACAAAAUCGUGUUAAACAUCUUAAGAUACUAAAUGGAAGGACAUAUUUGAAAAUAGGAACUUUAACGAAAAGCUUCCAGUGUUGUUCAUUUUAACGAAAAACCAUAUUUUUACACUAAAAAGUCAAUCUUAGUACUAUUCACCUUACCCUUUAUUUUGUCCUUAUCGUUAAAACUCAAAAUUUUCAAACCAUUUUCAUUAGUUUUCCUUUGAAAAUAUUUGGUAAAAGCAACUGAAAACACAAACAUGAAAGCAAGUACAUAUAUGUAUGCAUUAUUUUUAUACGAUGCAAAUACCAUGCAAACAUAUUUAAUUGCUGAACAAUACUUGGCUACUCAAAAAUAAGUAGGAACUCCUACUCAAAAUUUUUUCAAAAUUGUUCGUUGUCAAUUUAUAGAAUUUCGUGUUUAUAAUCAGUACCAUUUAUAUUAUAAAUCAACUUAUAAAAAUCGCCUCUGCAAAAAAUCAAUUAAAACUAAGGUCGUUUGGUCAUCAAACUAUUUAAAAACAAAUGAACGAUAUUGGUAAAAACAUUACAAACCGUCUACGUAUUUGCUACAAUAGAUUGAUUAAACGACCUUAGUUUUUAUUUAUUUUUUGCAGAAAUGAUCUUUACAAUGUGAUUCAUAAUAUGAACAGUUAUGAUCAUAAACACAAAGCUUUGUGAUUAAAACACUAGGAAUUUUGAGUAUAAGUUCCUACUCAUCUUUGAGUAACCAAGUAUUGGUCUUAACACCAAGCCUAUUGUUGUGCCUACCUCUAAUGAAAAAACUAUCUCAAAAAAUUUUAAAUAAUGAGAAAGGAGGUAUUUGUGUUGUGUGUAUAGAGAGAGAGAGAGAGAGAGAGAGAGAGAGCACCUCUAUGAAGCAGUCAUGGAAGUGCAUUCUGAUAAGACCUGCUGCUAAAGUUGGAUCGGCUUGCAAGGCUCUGGUGACUGUAUUUCUGACAAUAAGUUCAGCCAUCGGGCAGCUCAUAAUGUAAUAGCCCAUACUCAAACCAUUUGCUCGAAAUGGGAAGCCACUAAUCAUUUGCAUUAGUAGAAACACUACAAACAGCUUAGCAAUAACCAUCUUCGAUGAUUCUAGAGGGAAGAUCUUGAAUUCAAAUAGUAGUGAGAGGUAGUAGUACUAACUAGCAAGAUUAUAAUAGAAUGCUCAAGAAAAGAGGAGUAAUUGUUAGAAUAAAGAGUGGAGGUAAAGUGCUUUUAUAAUGAUUAAACAAAAGUUGCCGGCCCAAACUUGAAGGAAAAAGAAAAGUUAUAGACGACAAUGGUUUAUCAUCAAUUUUAAUUAAAUUAUCAAAAAUGUCAUUAUCACUAUCUAUUUAUACCACUAUUUGUAUCAUCUUUUUAAUGAAAAUAAGAUCGACAUGUCUUGGUAGGCUUUACCUCUUUUAGAAAAAAUGGUACAAAUAAUAGUAUAAAUCAAUGAUAAGUGUAGCACUACUUAAAUUCUAAUUUAUAAGGAGGUAUAUGAAGUCAGGUGUAAAGAAAUAAGCACUCUGCUAGGAACUUUAACGAAAAGCUCCCGAUAUUGUUUACUUUAACGAAAAACCACAUUUUUACACUAAAAAGUCAAUCCUAGUACUAUUCACUUUACCCUUUAUUUUGUCAUUGUCGUUAAAACUCAAAGUUUUCAAGCUAUUUUCAUUAGUUUUCCUUUAAUUUAACUUAUAUUUGCAAAGUUACCACCCCAAUCUUAAUUAGAUGAAAAAGAAAGUUGAAGAUAGACAGUGGUUUAUGAUCAAUUGUGCACCUAAUGGUCAAUACAAUACAAAAAAAAUUAAUAUAAUUAAUGGAUGCUAAUUGGAAAUAGUUCGACACGUGAAUAAUGCACCAUGGGGCACUAAACCAUAUUGGAGCCAAAUGAUGCAUGCAAGUAGUUUCCACAGUGAAAUCGAAAGACGAUUAAGAUAUCGAUCACACAACAAAUUGAAAUGCGAUUAAUUAAUAAUGAUAUCUAAUAACAUAUUAGAUUAAUCAUAAGAGUUGCGUUGAAGUUUUGCAUGGAUAUAAUUGGAUUAUUAUAACUGAGUGGUGGGCACGGAAGUCAAAUGACAAAACGAAAGUGGGGAUAGUGAAGUGUAUGCACUAUUUAUACCACGACCAGAAAAACAUGUAGAGGCAUAUAUAUAUAUAUAUAUGUUGCUCAGCUGGCCUCCAUUGCAAAGGAGCCUACCUACUCUCAGUGUCCAUAUCUUUUUGCGAGAAGUGGGGGGGAGACUUAUUUGGCCAAAGAAGAUAUCAAUUUAUGCGUGCAGGUCAGCAGGAUAACAUCAGUGUCAUACAUAUGUUUAAUUUCAUUUGGUUGUGGUAUCAUAUUCUAUACGUACAUGUGUGGAGAUGGGGACAUGCUUUUACUUCAAGGAAGUGAUAUGUGUUGGACACUUGAGGAUAUUUACAAAUGGAAAACUGAUCUACCAAGAAGCCAGGUUGCCUCCAAACAAAUGUUAAGUAUCCACAUGUAGGCUUUCUGUCAGUAAUAAAUCCAGCCUAGUCAUCCUCAGUUAUACCCUUCCUCAUCAAGAUUAUAAUGCUUAGUGAACAUUAAUCUCUUUCCAAGAGAAAAGUUCAUAGUGAGCAAAGUUCAAGUGGCUCAUUACUCAUAGUACAAAAUAUGAAUUACAACAAUCAUAUAUGAUCUUCAGUUUGUGACUUACUACAAUUAAAAUAUAGUUAAUAUAUGGUCAAGUAAGCAAUAAAUAAGUUCCAAAAAUUUUUAGGUAUAGCUUUCUAUUGGUGUUUGAGCAAUAAUAAAAAUAAGAUCUGUUAUGGGGACAAACUAUUGUUAUUUACGCAAAAUUCGCACAACUCCGGCCUACCAACUUCGAAACCCAAUUGAAAUCCUACUACAGGGCUCAGAUGACCACCACACUCCAUCAACCCAUCCAAGGGUUCGAACAUGAUUUUUAUCGAGGCGCAUCUGCCACAAAGACGACAAGACUCGAGAAUAUCUCGCCUUUUUAAAUGACGAUGUACGUGUCAUCGGACACACUGACAUCACCACUGUGAUCCUGGGAACCGCCACAAGACAUAGCUAAAGGCCACUUAACUAGGAAUUAUAGUUUUUAUUAAUGCCAAAUGACCGAUCUACCACUACUCCAGCUUAAUGAUAUGAUCGAGGUUGCUCUUUCCUUAUUGUCAGAUACCUUCAAGCUCAAGACCUUCUUCAAAUUCAAUCUCUAUGAUGUACAAAACCUUGAGUGAUUCUUUAAUCAACCCAACUGCUUUUCAGCACAAACUCAAUUACUUUUCAACAAAACCCUUUAGCUCUUCAGCUACAAUCUUAAAGUCUUGUUUCUAAACAAACACAGCCUAAGAUCCCUGAGAUCUAAAAUUUUCAGUUCUGUCACCCCGUGGUAUGAUUUGGUUGACAUGUCAUUCCAACCGCCUUAAUUCUCUCAUAGGCAUGUGUUUUUUACUAAGUCCAAUCUGAUACCAGUGAUCUCAGUGGACUCAUGUAGCAUUAGCUUGUCCUUCAUGGCCUAAAUCCUGCUAGUCUUAAUGCCUUCUUUACAUGUCCAGUCAAUUUACAUUUCAAGUCAUGUAGCUCGACCCAUCAACCUAAUUUUACUUUUGAAAACGUCUAUAAUCUCGACUUCAACAUGAUAUAUUACUUUGUGUUUUUCGCUUUAGUUUCUAUUUCGCUUUCAUUUACUUUUUAGGAAAGCAUACACAAAGUUACACUGAAUUUUAAGUCCUUGUUCACUCAAGAUACGUACAAACUUAACCGAGUCAGCAUCUCACUCGGAGCACUAUUGUUGGGUAUACGCGCAACUUUCACACACAUUCAAAUGCAAACACUAUAUGUUGGCAGACUCCAACUGGCACGGCUAUUUUCUCUUUCUCUCGAGCCAUCACAUGGCGCCAAGAUUAAAAGCAAUACUCGAGACAAAUACGUGUUGAACAUAGUCCAGACUUUGUUCGCUUAGCUUGUGAUUUUGUAUAAUAGGUGUAUGAACACAUUUGCAGCAAACAUUCAUGUCUCACAUAAAAAACUCUAAUACAUACUUUGAAAAUGAAAAAUCACUUAAAAUCAUUGUCUGUAACAAUCAUAUAUCAUCCAUAUACUGAAUUAAGAUGUAACUUUACUAUUCUUAUGCUUUAGAAAAGAAAAAAGCCAUUGUCUAAGUCACUUUAAAAAUAAAUAUUAUUAAUUAAUAAGGAAAGGGGGAGAAUUCGAAACUGCAACAUUAAUAUUUAGAAAGGAGAGAGUUUCGAACCAAGAAUGCAUAAGUAGAAACCAACACCCUAAACGAGGACUAUUUCAACCAGGAUGGUCGCUUCUAAUUGCAUACCUUUUCCAAUUCUUAGGAUUUUUUUCAUGGAUGUAUUCUUCCCAUCGAAUUUUUGCAAGGGCCAAUCAAGGUAAUAAGUAUAGCUAGAGGUAGAAUUACAUGAAUGGUAUUAAUAUUGGCAUAUGCCAUCUGGUGCCAGAAGUCUCCUAGUUAAUAUAAAGUCAACUUCAUAGGCCGGCUUGGUAGUUGGUAUAUAUGCCCCUUUUUCUGCUAACAUAACUCGAUAAAUUCGUAGGCCGGCUUGGUAGUUGGUAUAUAUGCCCCUUUUUUGAAUUCCUAUCUGCCUUUAACAUAACUCGAUAAAUUCAUCCACAUCCAACUGUACCCUUCUUACCUUAUGUAUAAGUAAUUACUACAAUAUACGCACCGAUCAAAGAAUUAAACUGCUAAACAAAUAUUCAGAAAUUCAUGAACAAAGAUUGAUUGUGUCACGGGCAUUUAUUUCUAAUUGAAAAAUUUGUAAUACAUACAAGUAUACAACUAAAAAGAAUGCGAAGUACAAUUACAUGUCAAUUAGCAAGCGCUUAGCUUCAGCUUUUGGUGUCUGUUACCAAGAAAUAAAGAAUUAAACAAUGUGGAAAUAAUAAUUAAAAUCUUUGUAUACCAUAUUAACUUUAUUGCAAUAUGAAUUAACUAAAGUAAUCAAGGAUCAUCAGUUCAUGUUCUGAUGAUAACUUCACUAAGUAGCGUGAGUCGUAAUUAUAAACGGUAUGGAGUUUUGGGACGCUGCAUGGAACGCUUUUCGUUCUCAAUCUCUAUCAGGCUGUUGAUUACAAUAUCUGCAGCAGUUGUUACAACAUCUGCCAUGUUCCUAUAAAACCCAAAAGAAACCGCAAGUAAGGAAAGCUAGUAAGAAAAUCAAAAGUGAUCGACUGUUGAAGCAUUUCCUGAUGUACUUUUUCGUCUAUACAUCGUUGGCCUACCUAUUACAGUGCUGCUGGCCUAAUCUACAUGUAAGUUGUCAAUAGAUGAUUAGUUGUUUGAUUACCAGUUCAGUUUUAGUUUUUAAAAACAUAAAAACUGAAACCUAAAAGUCAAUUUUGAAAACUUAAGAGUUGUUUGAUACCCAUUUCAUUUUUUUGUUUUUCGUUUUAGUUUUCAUUUUUUUUAAAUUGAAAACUUAUUUGGUAACUAUUUUCAGUUUUCAAUUCUCAAAAUAAAAAAGAAUAAAAACUAAAAAACAAAAGCCAAAAUUUGAAAACUCAAUAAAGUAGCUUCACUUUUUUAUUUUUAGUUUUCAUUUUUUAUCUAAAAGUUAAAAAUAGUAACCAAACGAGUUUUGAGUUUCCUUUUUUUUUAAAAAAAAAGUGAAAACAAAAGCUAAAAAACUUGUUUGGUAACAACUUUCAAGGCUGUUUAAUAACCAUUGUUUUUAUUUUUUUUGAAAACUGAAAACCUAUUUGGAAACUACUUUCAAUGUCCAAUUUUUAAAAAAAUUGAAACAAAAAACAUAAAGCCAAAUAUUGAAAAUUCAAUAAAGUAAUUUUCACUUUUUUGUUUAUCAUUUUUUUUUUUAAAUUGAAAGUAUUCGUACCAAAUUGGUUUUUAGUUUUCAAUUAAAAAAAGUGAAAAUAAAAACUGAAAACGAGUUAUCAAACGGCUCUUCAGUGAAAAAAUGAAAAUGAAAAUUCAAAAAUUGAAAACAAUUUUCUUGAUUUUUAAUAUUUGGUUUUCAAUUUUCAAUUUUUAUUUGUUUGAAACUGAAAGUAAAAAACAAACGAGUUUUUUGUUUUGAUGAAAAAAAAAAACUAAAAACUAAAAGCAAAAUGGUUAUAUGGACCUAUACGGCACAAAUUAAUUAAUUUUUUUCAAAAUAUUAUAAGUAUUGCUGCUCUAUAUAAACCUAAAAGGAAAGAAAGAACAUAGAUUGACAAAAAAUGAAAAAAGAAUAUAGAUUCAUCGAUCUUACCCUUUUGACGAGCUGUAUGUCAACCCUACGGUGUUCCUAGCCUCUUCAAGAGCCAACCUAAAACUUUGUAGCUUCUCCGGCGGACAUUGCCCAUUGUCCACGACACAAAGCUGAGAGGGCUUAAUGUCACAGAAUAUAGGAAUGACCUUCUUAUUGGACUCCAUGAUUAGGGCCAGUUCAUGAAGGCAAAAGUAGGAGUCACAAUAAUUAGGCGAAAACACAGCAACACCAACCUUACAACCCCUUAUUGCGCCAUCAAUUUUAUCAAACAGUUUAUCUCCAGGUCUCAUGGUCCUGUUAUCUAAGAAAGGGCGCAAGUUGAGUAGAGAAAGAUGGUCGUAAAGCAAAGAGACGAUUGUUCUCUUCGUGUCGAUUCCUCUAUGGUUAAGAAACACAUCGCAAGAUUUCGUAGCCUGUUCGGCCAAUUGGGUUUGCUUUUGGUAGCUGAAAAGAUUGUGUUUCAAGCUAAUGGCUGCUGAACGAUGCAUGGUUUUUUGUAUGGAACCCUAGUUUUGUUUUUCUGCCUUGUUCUUUAAUUAAUUGUCUGUUGAAUAAUGAGACUUUUGGUGCAUGCCAGAUGUGCUUUGAUUUGCACGGCUUUAAAUAGAGCCUUGAAGCCUCUAUUUUCCAAGUUAUUUCUUUGAAUGGAAUGUGUUCCUGUUCAAAAUUUGACCAUCCCAGUUGAAUUUUGGAAAUAAACUAAUGAAAACCCUUCAAACACGUUGAAGGUCCCUCUCUGUGUGAAGCUGCCUUCACUGUAAUACACAUAUAACAUGCAUUGGGACAGCUCCUGGACAAAUUUAAAAGUUAAUGUUCUCUUUUUUCCACCAAAUUAAUGUUGAGGUCCAAACAUAAUAUAAAAUGCACGUGGGAAACUUAUUCAGCGAAUUUCAUUGUCAGUUCUUUCUUGUUUGAAGUCUGCAGAAAUUCAAAGUAAAUUCUUGUUUUUAUACUUCAAUUCAUAUUAAUAUUACCAUACAGGGAACAAACUAACAUAUUGCUUUAUUGAAAGUUUUACAAACCAUGAAAGGGUUUCUUUGACUGUUUGAACGAUAUACUUGGUCGCAAAUUAUAAUAAGGUCUCCUCCUACGCACAUAUAUUUAAAUGCUAAUAAGUUAUUAAUUCAUUACAGCGAUAAUAACUUGUUUAGACUAUUCUACAAAAUUUCUCAUAAUCUAAAUUGAAAAUAUGACUUUAACCCCUCAAAUUCAAUUUUUUUAAUAUUUAAAACCCGAUAUAAUUUUUUUACUAAAACUAGGAUCCACCUAAUUGAAUUCAUUAAUUACAUAUUACUUUACACAUUUUAUAUUUUUUUAGAUGCCUAAAAUACCCCUAUUGCAUAUUUGAUGUGCACAAUUAAUUCUAUGCAGAUUGUAAGGAGAGAGUUAAUGAUUUUGCAAAAAGAAAAAUAAGACAUUAAUGUUAAAAAAUUCAUAUAUAUAUAUAUAUAUAUUUACAAAAAAAAAAAAAAACCUAAUAUAUGUAAUAAUACAUAAAAAAGUAAUUUACCUACCAUGUACAAAAAUGUUAUUUGAUUCAAAAUGUGUGUAUAUAUAUAUAUGUGCGUGUGUGUGUGUGUGUGUGUGUGUGUGUGUGUGUGUUUAUGUAUUUAUAUAAUUAGACCAUAUUAAUUUACCUACCUACUAUUUGAAAUGUUCGUUUUCAAUUGCAAAAUAUUGUAUACCAACAACAAAAUAUUGCAUAAACUUAGGAAUUGGAUCAUGCUUUUGAUUUUAUCUUUUACCUACAAACAAGCAUAUACAUAUUACUUUAUAUAUUUUUACCAAAAAAACGUCCCUAAUAGGCUGAUAUAUGUAAUAAUACAUGAAAAAUAAUUAACUUACCAUGUAUACAAAAAUGUUAUUUGAUUCAAAACAUAUAAUCUAGGUUUUCUCAAAAAAAAAAAAAAAAAAAAAUAUAUAUAUAUAUAUAUAUAUAUAUAUAAUCUAGGUGUAGUAUAUAUAUAUUUUUAUAUAAUUGGAACAAAUUAAUUUACCUACCUACAAAUUAAUUUCCAAUAAUUUACCUACAAAAAAUUAUACCCUGUGUGUAAUAUAAUAUAUUUUUUUCACCAAUACAUGGAGAAUAAUUUACCCAUAACAAGAAGAAAUAUAAUUUGAUGUAUUAUAUUGAAAAAUAUUAUGUCAUACCUAUAUUUAUACAACAAUAAAACGUGCCUAAUAUAUGUAACAAUACAUGAAAAAUAAUUUACCUACAAGUUAGAGAAGUGUUAUUUGAUUCAAAAUAUAUAACACGAAUUUAGUAUAAUUUUUUUUAAUAAUUGGAACAAAGUAAUUUACUUCCCAAUUAAAGCAAUAUAUAUCACAAAAAAAGUAAAUUUUUGGUAUGAUAUGGAUAUAAUUAAUGCAAUACAACAGUUUAUAUAUUUUAAUUUGGAAUAAAUUUAGGGAUUUGGGAAAGUGGCAUGGGUGUAAAUAAAUUGUAUUAGUAGGUCAAUAGUGUUCCGAUGUGGCUGCAGAUUUUAAAUUUGGGCUUUUAUUAGACGUUUAUAUGUAGAUGGGUUUUUAUCUAGGAAUCAUGAAAUGUAAGGGACAAAAUCUAAAGCACCCUAAUCUAAAUGCUUCAUUGUUUAAUAAGGAAAACUAAUGAAUAGGGCUUCAAAUCUUUGAAUUUUAAUCAAAAACCAUCCACUUGUUGUAGGCAUAAUCUACUUAAACAAUUAUGGAGGCCAGAAAGAGAGAGAGGGUGCGGGAGAGAGAAGAGAGAGAUGUGUAAUUGUGAGGUAUGUUCUAUUCCACCCCAUUGUGCCUUUAUUUAUAGCAAUAGGAUAGGUAAAAUCCUUACCCUUUUAGGAUGAUUACAACUCUUAAUAGGUAAUUAACCUCUAAUAGGAAUGUAAAGAGAUAUUCCUAGAUCUACUAGGAUUUAAACAAUCACAUUCCUAAUCUAAUAGGACUACAACACUACCCCUUGAGUGUGUAAAUACUCAAAUAAAUGGCGCAUCAGGUCUUCAGCGAUGAAGUAAGUACAAUUGAUGAAGUCGAAUGCGAGUCUCAAAUCAACGGAAUAAUGCAUAAAAAGGUAAAACUCACAAAAUCUUGCUAUGGUAAAACCCAAGGUGGGAUAAAAACCUAGACUAAGGAGAAAAGUGAGAAGUUACAUUAAGUCAAAACUAUACGUGUAACUUACAUGGGGAAGUCAAUAGUGUAACUUAUACCGAUCCCAAAUUUUUUUUUUUUUUUGGUUUUUUAUUUCCCUUUUAAGUUUUUAUUAUUUGUGUUUUUCCAUUUUCAUAACACCAUACUAAUAUGGAUUUGGAUCCUCUCCUGAGCAAAGGGUCCGAAUCUUGCUGACCAAGCAACACGGACCGUUGGAAAUCCAAUGAUUACAAUUAUUAUAACUUUUAGAGGAUCCUCUGUUUAUAACCGUUGGAUCAACAUGUUGAUUGGUCAACAGGAUCCGAGGAUCCAAAUCCUACUGAUACAUGCUCACACACAGUGGUGUGAAUUUUUUUUUUUUUUUUUUUUUUUUUCAAAUUGAAGGAGAGAGGAAGGGAGUGGGAGAGAACAUGAGAGUGGGAGUGAGGAGAGAGGGAGAGAGGUUUAAUUUAUUUUUUUAAUUUUUUAAAUAGAGAUGUUAAAAUCACCUGUAGGUGAUGCUUAAACAAAAAAUUGAAAAUUUUUAUUUUGUGAAAUUACAUUAUUGUCCUUAACUUUUUUGUUUUUCCAUUCCACAAAAUGUACUUUUUGGUGAAAAAUAUUAAGAAAUUAUUAUUAGCACUCCAAAAUCUUAUUUUGCUCUCCAAACUUUAUAUAAUUAGAAAGAAAAAUACACUUGUAAGGAGUGUAGAAUUAAAUUUUUAGAGUGCUAAUAAUAGUUUCCAUAUAUUAUAAUUCAAAUUUAAACACUCUAAGAACAACGAUAUAAAACCUAAAAUCAAAUAUUUAAAUCUAAACAAAUAAGUUCAAAUACUUGCACACUAGACUCACCUCUAACUGUGGUUCCAAGGUUGGCACCCCUCGCCUGCUCACAGUUGGUGGCUAGUGGGGUGCGAUAUAAAAUCAACUCACACAUACUUCUCAGCCAUCCCUGAGUCCUCCACCAAGAUAACAUAUUGAAAUUUCUCAUGGAUUAUAAUUUUGUUUUGAAUUGUUGCAUUGGGAACUGCUUGACGCUAAAAACCGGGCCCACGUUGAAUUACAUUCAAUCAUGGAAAUUGAUUUUUUUCCAAAAUUAAACCCAACUUUAUUCGAUGCUAUUUUAAUGCCUUCGAAAUUAUAGUUUCUAUUUUUCAUCAUCAUUCCUAGCCAAAAGCAUGAAAGUUCUUUUCUUUUCUUUUUUUUGUAAAAAAAUGAUACGUGUCAUUUAAAGGUGAAAAAUCUAAAUGUAAAGGUUAGUACAAAUGUUGCUAGCACUCCCAAUGACUGGAAACUGUGUAACAGUUUAGAAGCCAACAUUUGAAAAUCCUCAAAAUAUUAUAUUCCUUUUUGCCGAAUAUUGGAAGUUCACCAUGAGUUGCAGUAUCAGGCAGCAACAAUUCUGAAGAUUCUGCAAAAGUUCAAUAACAAGCAAUCGAAAAUCCUAAGAUAUUCGAUUUUUCUCCGUCAACUCCUUAGAGUCCAUCAUGAAUCCCAAUAUUCGGCAAAAGUUAACCCGAAAUUGAGUGUAAUUUCAGUAGCUAACAACGGAAAAUCCUCAAAAUAUUCUAUUGCUUUCUAAUUUCUAAUUAAUUGUUUUCGUUUUUGAAAUCUUGUUACACAAGUUUGCAGUAAUUAAUUAAUCAAUCAUUCUUCACUCUCAAGUCAAGUCCAUUUAACUAGUCAUCAUGAUAUCAAAUAUCUCACACAAUUAAUUUUGAACUCAAAUUAAUGAAAAUUUGUUAGGUUGUCAACAUUGCAUUUGAUUCAAUUAUAUAGAUAUGUCCGUGCCCAUCAUGCUCACAUGUGUAUACAGCUCGGUCAAUGAUAGGAUUUUUAGUACUUACGUAAAGAAUGUUAAAAUCACACAAAAUACUUGUAAGAGUACAAAGAUGUUGUAGUAUAGAUGCUCAUACAAGGUUGUUCUCCACAAGAACUAUUUAAAUAAUUUAUGUAAAACCAAUUCCUAAUUAACUACUUAAAACUAAAAAUUGAAAAAGUGUUGUGGUCUAUUUUUAUCUGACAAAGGAAUAGGGCCGGCGGCAGAGGGAGAGAGGGAAUAGAGAUGUGUGUUUGUAGAAUUGUAGGGGAAUGUGUGUUGUUAUCCCUCCUACAUUGUGCCUUUAUUUAUAGUAGUAAAGGGAGAGAAGAUAUUCCUUCUUCUCCAAGUAAUACAAGUUGUAAUAGGAAAUGAUAACUAGAAUCAAAUCUAAUCUAGGAUUUACACAAUCAUACUUAAACUAGGAAUGUUGACAACACUCCCCCCUUGAGUGUGUCAGCAUCAUGCAGAAGUUGAGGAAGUCGACUCGUUGGCACUAAUUCCAAGGAACAACGCUUAUUCUCAAUAAGGUAGGAACUUGCAUAAGUAAUAAGUCUCGCUAAAAAACCCUAAGGCUAUGGCAAAAACCCGAGUAGGGACAAAAUCCAUAGUCCAAGGAAAAAUGUAUGAGAAAUGAAAAGUCAAAAGAAACGUCUACAGGACGUCAUCAGGGAUAUGACCAGCCCAAGGUGGGUGCCUCGUUAAAACCUAGUAAGGUAGCAAAAACCCAUUGAGAAAAAUGCUCCUAAUCGUAGGGAAAAAGAGUACAUUAAGAUCAAGCAAGUAUCUACAGGAUACUCCCCCUGAGUUUGACAUAAUUCCAAAGAGAAUUAGUAAAGUUACAACUCAGAAAGUUUACGUAUACUAAUUUCAUGAACAAGCUUCUGAAACGUCGCCUUCGACAAUGAUUUGGUGAAGAGGUCGGCCAGAUUGUCUUGUGAACGGAUUUGCGUGACUUCAAUCUUCUGAUGCUCUUGUUGUUGAUUUGUAAAGAAAAACUUCGGCGCAAUGCGCUUGGUGUUGUCUCCUUUGAUGUAACCCUUCUUGAGCUGAUCGAUGCAAGCUGCGUUGUCCUAAAAAAUCAUCAUCGGGGCAUUAACGGCAGGAUGAAGAUCGUAAGAGCUUCGAAUAUGGCCCAUUAUUGCUCUCAACCAAAAGCAUUCCCGAGUUGCUUCAUGUAAGGCGAGAAUUUCAACAUGGUUAGACGAAGUGGCAACUAAGGUCUGUUUAGUUUACCUCCAAGAGAUUGCGGUGCUCUAACGAUAAAGACAUAACCCGUUUGAGAACGCGCCUUAUGCGAAUCAAAUAAGUAUCCAGCGUCGACAUAACCAACAAGGCGAAAAUCAACCCGAUGAGCAUAAGGUGCGGCAUCACUCGAGGAUUCGUAGGGAUAGAACAAGCCCAAAUCUGUAGUACCCUUAAGGUAACGGAAGAUGUCUUUCACGCCAGUCCAGUGUCUGCGUGUUGGUGCAUUGUUGUAUCUUGCCAAAAGAUUAACAGUGAAUGAGAUAUCGGGUCUAGUGCAUUGAGCUAAGUACAAUAAAGCGCCUAUCGCACUUAGAUAAGGAACUUCAGGCUCUAAAAUCUCUUCAUCAUCCUCUUUCAGACGGAAGGGAUCUCGUUUUGCAUCUAGCGUACGAACGACCAUAGGAGUACUCGAAGACUUCGCUUUAUCCUUAUUAAAAUGGCGCAACACUUUCUGGGUGUAGUUCGAUUGAUGUACUAGGAUUCCAUCCGAACAAUGCUCUAUCUCGAGACUGAGACAAUAUCGAGUCUUACCUUUCAUCUCAAAUUUCGACUUUAGGUGCGAAGUAAUUCUUGCGAGCUCUUCGGGAGUUCCGAUGAGAUUCAUGUCAUCGACAUAUACUACAACAAUUGAAAAUCCGGAAUGUGACUUCUUAAUGAACACACAAAGGCAUAGUUCGUUGUUCACAUAUCCCUGACUAGUCAAAUACUCACUCAGAUGGUUAUACCACAUUCUUCCGGAUUGUUUCAAACCGUAGAGUGAACGCCUCAGCCGAAUUGAUAGCGUGUUCCGGGGUUUGGAAAUAUUUGAACCAGUCAAUGUAAGUCCUUCGGUAACUUUCAUAUAAAUUUCUGUAUUAAGAUCCCCAUAGAGAUACGCGAUUACUACGUCCAUCAGCUGCAUAUCCAGUUUUUCGGAAACCACCAAACUGAUAAGGUAGCGAAAAGUAAUCACAUCCAUAACGGGUGAGUAAGUUUCGUCAUAAUCAAUCCCAGGGCAUUGUGAGAAACCUUGUGCUAUAAGACGAGCUUUGUAACGAACUUCUUACGACGAGAGUGAUAUUCAUCUACAACCUUCUUGGGAGCUUAGCAAACACGGGACCAAUGGUCCUUUGAACCAUAGCGAUAGCACAUAUCGUCAUCCAUGGUUUUGGAUGCUUUGCCCUUAUUCUUGAAGUGCAGGGUCUUGGGAGCGAGGUUUGGGCGCUUCUAGGCUUUGUUUCCUCCCUUGGAUGGGCCUUGGCUCUGUUGACCUUUGUGGGAUGGCUUCUGGCCGCCCCUACCACGCCGCUUUUGGCGUGUUGGGUGCUGAUUAGUGCUAUAAUGUGCUUCAGGCACAGCAGUAGCCCCAGUAGGUCGAGCUUGAUGAUUCUUCAUCAACAGCUGGUUCUGCUUUUCAGCAAGAAGUAAAACAGAGAUCAAAUCCAAGAACUUCUGAGCUCUAUAUUGUUGAUGCAGGAUAAUAUUGGAAGCAGAGAAUGUCGAGUAGGUCUUCUCCAGGAGAUCCUCUUCAGUCAAAGUUUCAUUGCAAAACUUGAGAAUUAAUCGGAUUCAACAAACUUCAUAAUUAUAUUCAUUCACAGACUUAAAGUCUUGGAAGCGCAAGUGUUGCCAGUCGUGUCUUGCUUCAGGCAAGAAUAUGUCCUUUUGGUGAUCGAAACGAUCAGCCAAAGCAACCCAUAAUGCACGUGGAUCCUCCUCAGCAAGGUACUCAGUUUGCAGAGCGUCAUGGAUAUGUCUUUGGAUGAAGAUCAUAGCAGUGGCUUUUUCAGCUUCUCCAACAGGUUUAUCUGUUGCUUCUUUAAUAGCAGGACGCAAGUUCUUUGCAGUGAGGUAGAGCUUCACAUCUUGAACCCACUUGAGGUAGUUCCUUCUAGAGACCUCUAAAGCGGUGAAGUCGAGUUUGUUGAAAUUCGACAUGUUCCUAUCACAAAAUAGAUGGACAAGAUGUGGUUAGUGUAAUGGAGAAAAAAUCAAUUCAUUCACAUAGGAGUAGAACAUACAGGUUCUAAUAGACAUGUAUUGGUUUAAUUUUGCAUGAAAAACUUCGGGUUUCAUGGGUGAUAUGUUUAAGUGAAAACUUCAGGUUUUCAAACAAGGCGUGUUUAAAAGAAACUUCAGGUUUCAAAGUAAUUAUGAACUUCAGGUUCAUGUAUUCAUGCAGGCAAACACAAAUAUAUAUGCAAACAAAUAUGCAACAAGUAUAUGCAAGAAAUAUAACUUUUAGGUGUAUAAUUAUAAUUGAAUGAAUUUAUUUGGACUUCGGGCCAAAUUAAGAUGUGGGGAAAAUAUGAAAAACCCAAAUUAUUUUAAAAUAAAUAAAUAAUGAAGUCUCGGGACCUAAAAAUAUAGGCCAAGAACCCUCGGGUGAGUCAUGGGUAAGCUUUAGGCUCACGGGGAGGGGAGCAAAAAGGAGUAGGCUGCCACGGGCAGACCCAAAUUUUUUUUUUUUCUCACACAGGCUGCUUCAAGCAGGCCCAAAAGAAACCAAAAAAAAUUGCUCUUUUUUUAGGGCUGGGCUGCUGCAGGCGAGCCUAGAAAACAAAAAAAAAUUGUUUUGUUUUUUUUUUUUCACGGGCCAAGGAGCUAGAGCCCACUCGGGCUCGGGUGGAUAGAAACUGAACAACCCAGCGGCGCUGGGUGUGCUUGGCCGGGGAAGAAAACCAGAAAAAUUGGACGACGCCACUACAGGUGGUCGUGUCGGGGUUGUAGGGGCUCGGAGUGAGUCACGGUUGUCAUGGACAACCACAGAGAUAAGAAAAUCUCAACGUUUCAACAAUUGUAAAACCCUAAAAAAAUGAAAUUGAAUUUUCAAAAAAUUUCGAUGAGAAUCCGAUGAAUCUCAAUUCAAUUUUAGAUGUGGGACGACUUCUGGUCGUCGGCGACAUGAACCAGAGGUUAAAAGCAAUGGCUGCAGGCCACGCCGUGGUCAAUGGGCACCAUGAAAGGUGUCGGGUUUUAGUGGUUUUCUUGGGAAUGGGACACCAUGGGCGUCGGGUUCUCGGCUUUGCAGGUUGCAUGCCUGGCAAAGGGAUAGGUUGGGCCAUCGCAGGCUGCGGGCUUGGUGGCUUGCGGCCUUGCAAGAUGCAAAGGCACGGGUUCGAACAGAACCCUAGAUCCCAAUUCCAAUUUUUCUGUUUUUCAUUAAUUCACUUAUAUGCAUGAAUAAUUCAAUUGUAUAUUUCAAUGAAUCACAGAUGUAAAUUGAUGCAUAUGCAAAUAAUAGUUUCAAUGCAUGUACAUAUGUAAGAUUCAAUUCAUGGCAAAUAUCAAAUUCACAUAAUUGCAGCAAUUUUGGUUAUGAGGCAUACACAAUUUAUGUAGAAUCUAAAAUAAGUUAAACGUAAAGUUGGGUCAUGCAUCAUAGUGAAUGUUCAUGCUAUCAGGGCUUGCAAAAUAUCGAGUAAAAAGCCGUUGUUUUGAAAGAACCUGAUUGCGUGAUGAUAUGGAUGAACUGGUUUGAUGCAGAAAAAAAAAAAUUCUCCAAUGUCAGAUUCCUAAGCGCAGCGGUAGGAGCGUGCUGAUAACGUGUUGUGGUCUAUUUUUAUCUGACAAAGGAAUAGGGCCGGCGGCAGAGGGAGAGAGGGAAUAGAGAUGUGUGUUUGUAAAAUUGUAAGGGAAUGUGUGUUGUUAUCCCUCCUACAUUGUGCCUUUAUUUAUAGUAGUAAAGGGAGAGAAGAUAUUCCUUCUUCUCCAAGUAAUACAAGUUGUAAUAGGAAAGGAUAACUAGAAUCAAAUCUAAUCUAGAAUUUACACAAUCAUACUUAAACUAGGAAUGUUCACAACAAAAAGGAGAUUUUGAAUUUGGGUAAUAUUAAAAUUUUAAUUAAAAACAAAUAGUAAAUUCGCCCAAAAUUAAUACGAUAAAAGAAAAGAGUUUUUAAAUACUAAUUUAUAAAAGCACUAGGGUUCCGCCAUCACCAUAACAAUCCUAUAUAUUUUUUACCAAUUACUUAUGAUCUACACAUGCAAUGUUGAAGGUUAGGUUUUCCUAAUACAUAUUCUCCUCGUGAUGUUCAAGUAAGAACGUAUAUCUAACAUGCAAUCCAUUCAUUAAGUUCUGCGAAAACACUCUGAAAAACCAUGCAACCCCUAAAACGUGAUAAUCAUCUUAAGUGAAAUUACAAUUAUUACCACAAGAAGCAAAACCCAAUUCUCCGGUGAUAUUCCGAUCAAAUUGCAUCGAAUUACUUUUCUAAUGAUCCUAAUGAUGAUCAGUCAUUAAGACAAUUAGAUAGUUUAAAACAGUGAUUAAUAAUUCAAAGCAUACAUGCAAUCAAUCAUAAGCAAUUAAAUAAAAAUUACAUAUUCAUGCUAAGGCUCAAGGCUUCGCCCUAGCAAAACGGAUUAGUUAUGCAUAUUCAUAAUUAAAAUCAUAGAAAAUAUUAUUAUGAACAAAAUGAUUGAAAACACCUUAAAGUAAAAGUCUAAAAUUCUCCUAGGACCCUAGUCAAUUUCCUAUCUCCAAGUUGCAUCAAAGAAGAAGUAGAAAAACUAGAGUCGACCAAAACCUUAUAUCGCUCUCCUAAACUCUGCGCUAAUCCCUAAUAAAAGUCUUUGGCUCCAACUAGGAAACCAAAUAAUAAUAAAAUAUACUGGAAAAUAAAGUCCUUUUUUUUAAAUAUCAGAACAUCCUAAAAAAAUAAAGUCCUAAUUAAGUUAGGAGAAUCUGCAAGGGUAUUGUCCAGCCACGUUUUAGCCUCAAAUCUCCUCCAAAUCCGGCCAAUGACAACUUGUUUUAAAUAUCGGAACAUUCUGAACACAUCUCUAGAAGGGGCUAAAUCCAAAAUAGGUAUCUUGAGCUCCAAAACUCGCAAUUAAACCCAAAACGUCGCUUUUGCAGCACCACUCACUACUCUUUUAUUCUAUCGCCAGAAAAUAACCACUUGGUGGAAAAAUCUGAUAUUUUGAUAGAAUCAAGCUAAGCGACUCAUGAACAUCCUCCAACUGGAAUUACUCCAAAAUUCAUCCAUUUGAUUACGUUUUACUCCAGAAGAAGUCAAAAGUUCUAUAUUGAAAAUCCAAUUCAAAGUAUCAACAUUCUUCCAAAAUAAUAAUCAAAAUAAACUAAGAUUAGGGCAGAAUAUGUAAUAUAAUAUUGACUCAUAACCUUCAAAAUAGUUCCACUUUUACAUUAUUUGGGAUGAUUUUGCUCCUAGUUUUUAAUCACAAAUUCAAGGCAGAUGGAGCACAAGGUAUACAAAGUUUUGUGACACCCAGAAGAAACAUAUGGAUGAGAAGGCUGUAGGAAAUGAAAGUUUUGCUUGUCUUCUGGUGGUGAUGGUGGUUAAGAUUUCAUAUCAAUGCUUAAUCAUAAAAUACAAAAUAAAGAGAAAGCAAGUGGACCCAGAAAUGUUACUGUUUUCAAAUGGGUGUUUGGUCAUCACCAUCAUAGAUGAAAUGUCUUAAUGCAUCCAGCUAAUGCAAGGUAGAUUGUUGUUUCACAAUAGGACGUUAUGUCUAAAAAUAUGACAUAAUAUUGUAUUUGCUUUAUCCCCUAACAUUUUAUAAACCAGUGCUAGAAAGAGAAAUUGUUUUUAGCUGGGGAUUACUUUUGCUUACUUCUGAUAAUUGAAAUUUUAUCAUAAAACUAAUUGAUAAUAUAAAAAGUAACACACUCCAUAUUCAUGGACCAUUUUUUCAUCAAUUUGAAAUUAAUUUACUACAGUACUCUAAAUGCAUAAAGACAAUUUAGCACUUGCCAAACAAUUAAAUGCACAAAGAAAAACAAAACCAAAAUAAAACUUUGGAAUUCGAAUUGCAGUUUCUUUACAUCCAGUUACUCUUGGGAAUUGGGAUGCCAUAUACAACUUGGUGGGUACUCAUAAUUAUUUUUGAAAAUCAUCAAAUGUGGCUUAAGUUUUGGAAGAAGCUAAACAAAAUAAUUAAAAAAAUGCAUAACAGAAAGGUGAGUGGUGAUCGUUGUGACUAAUAAAUUGUUGGGUGCUCUCUUUGUUAGCAUAUAAAACCAUAAACAGCCGUUGGAAUCGACCAACGAUGAUUGAAAUCCCGUUAUUCCAUCAUCUUUUAUAAAACUAUUAUUUGCAUAUAUGAUUUAUGAAAACAAUUUAGUAUACUUUGUACAAUAUAAAAUAUCGAAAUGAAAGAAGGUUAUGGCUUAUUAGGCAAAAGCAUUAAAUAAUAAUUGGAAUGACACUUGCAAAAGCCAAAUAUCUCGAUCUUUCAUUUGGCCUUGCAAUGUUCACAUCGUAAGAAGAAAACAAAGAACCCUUGAAACCUUUCAUGCAUACACACGGUACAAAUAAUAUUUGUUGUUAAGCCAAUGUCUUUAUGUGUUUUAUGGUACAAUCCAAUCUCUCGUCUAGCUUUGCUACAAUGAAAAUGAGAAAUGAGAUGAGAGUCAAUCCCGAAUGUCAUAAUUGAUUCGUGAGGAGUGAAAUUGUUUAGAAAAUGUGAAAUUCUUUCAUAACUCGGUUCCUGCUCAUUGUUUUUUUUUUUUUCUCUUCCAUUCCUUAGGGAAGCAUUUUUAUUUUGGAGUAGGAUUUUCUCUUCUCCUAUUUUCAUCUCCUUCCCUCCUCUCAUCUCACACUUCAUUUUUGUCUUAUUAUUUUUAUAAAAAAAAUCAAUAUAAAAUGUUAACAUAAUUUAUUCGUAACCGUUCAAGUAAAAGGAAAGGUAAAGGGAGAGAAGAAGAUUAGCUAACAUUAUCCAAUAGGCACUGGUCCUUGAGGAGAGGAAGUAGCUUUUAUGCGGUUGGUGCUUGACAGUGUGAUGAUUCCUUGUCCAGUCCCUCACUCUAUUUCGUUUAAGAUCUGUAAUAUUAGCAGUAAAGCAAAACCAACUAUAGCAUUUUCCUCACACUUUUCUCACACUUUUCUCACAUAUAUAUUAUCACGUAUCCAGCAUGAGUGUUGACCCUAAAAAGGGUACAAACAGAGAGAGAGAGAGGUAGAGAGAGGACCCCUUAUUUCUCUUUGUUUUCUUAAAUAAAUACGGAUCUCUUCGAAAACAAGCUUGCAGAAGAGAGAAAGCAAUUCUGACAAUCUAACGCUACCAUGAUGUGGAUUGUGGGGGAGUGGAGUGGGUUUAAGAAAGAUUGAACACCUUAGAUUCAUCUCUCUCUCGUGAAAACAAUGUGGGGUGUGUGUGAGAGAGAGAGAGAGAGAAGAUAGAAACGUUUCCGUCGGUAUAGUCACGUGGGAUCCACUUUCACGGACAGUCUAAAAGUGCUUCUUUCUCUUCUCGAACCCUCUGAAAAAACAUUGCCCCAUGUGCUCAGCUUCAUCACCGUCUGCUGGCACUCUCUCUCUCUCUCUCUCUCUCUAAGUUUCAUUUGCACACCCCCAAUCAAACAAAACGUCUCCACUCCCAUGUCCACCAAGCUCACAUUUUGAUCGCCUAACUCUCUCUCUCUCUCCCUCGCUCACUCUCUCUCUAACACAAUGGACUCCAGAACUCGCCUUGACCAUGUUCUCUUUCAACUCACUCCAACCAGGACAAGGUACAUAGAAGAUCCAAUCUUUCGUGUAGUUUGAUGUUGUUUCAUGCAAUGAAACAGUUUACAUUUUCUGGGUUUCUGCUAAAGGUUAGUUUUUUGUGUGUUAAAAGAUGUGAACUGGUGAUAUUUGCUGCUGGUGGUGGUGCAAACGAGAAAUUGGCUUCAGGGCUUCUGGAACCAUUCCUUGGUCACCUGAAAUGCGCCAAGGAUCAGAUUUCCAAAGGAGGGUACUCCAUCAUUCUUCGUCCUUCGGACUCCGGUGCCUCCUGGUUCACCAAAGCCACUUUGCAGAGGUAAUGUUGUAAAAAUGUAUGUGUUUUUUCUAAUUAUCUAGCAUAAUUGAGCGAUAAUUUUCUAAAUUUGAUCACCAAGUUUGGAUCUGGGUUUGUGAUAAAUUCGAAUGAAGAAUUGGAUUAAUUAUAGAAAUAAACGCUUAUAUUUGUAAUUGAGAUGACCAAAGUAGUAACAUUGAAGUUGGAGAGUUCGGGUGGCUAUUAGAUUUGAUGUAAUCGUGUAAAGUUCUGAUCUUUAGGAUGUUAUGUCUUGCGGAUUUUGUCGUGUGUGAAGCGCGAAAUAGUUUUCAUUGUUGACAGAUUGAGUAAUUGGUGUGAUGUUAUUGGUGUGAAUGCUACAGGUUUGUGAAAUUUGUUAGCACGCCAGAAGUUCUUGAGAGAUUUAUGACUAUUGAGAGGGAGAUUUUGCAAAUUGAGAAUUCAAUUCAAUCGAGUGAACUAGCCGAAUCAGAAGGUGCAUUUCGGAGAUCCUUCAUAUUAUUUACCCUGUUAUUGUAUAUUCUUCAAUUCACUUACCUGCUGAUUACAUUUACUGAAUCUACAGCAUUCUCAAUUUGUUGAAUUAUUCUAGCAUCAAAAUCAAUGAUUAAACACUAUUUUCUAUUAUGGGAAAGCUUGCGAGUUAUUGCUCUUUAGGAUACUAACGGUGAUGUGCUGCAUGAGCAAUAGUGUUUUAGGAAAAUCUUCCCCAGAUACUAGGGAUUGUAUGUCCUUAAAGAUAACAAAAUAUCGACUCUUGUUGAACCCUUAAGCAUGCUUUAAUCUCUCCGGUAAGGCUGCUCCGCUGUGACAUAGAGGUCGUAAGUAGAAAUAGCAAAUCGUCUCACAGGAGUAAGCAUCUGAUCCAACCCGGACCGUGCAAUGGUGGGAGUCUUGUGCAUGGGCGCCCUUUGUCCUUGUCAAUUUAACGGCUACAGUUGAGAAAAUGUGUCUUCUAACUUUUGGUUUCUCAAAUGUCGACAGCAGAUGGGAAUCAAAAUAAGUCAACUGCAAUCAAGGUAUGCAUCAAUCGGCAAUUGUAUGUGUAAAAGUACUGAUUUGGUUCCUUUUGAAGCUCUUGCAAUUAUAAUGAACCGUUUUGUUGUGUUGUGAUGGUGUUUUAGUCAAACAGUGAAUCCAAUGGAGCCAUUAAUGCUGUGCCAGAAGAAAAUUCCAAGUAAGUAGUCUGGAUUUUCAAAAGUUCAUAUGUGAUUAUUAUACUGCUUGGUUAGAACAAAUUGCAUUUUCAUGCAUUGAUUAUUCAGCUUUUGGUGUUGAACAGGAUUCGUCUUCAACGUGUUUUGGAAACCCGGAAGGUAGUACUAUGCAAAGAGCAAGCGAUGGCUUAUGCUCGUGCUUUAGUUGCUGGAUUUGAACUGGACUACAUAGAAGAUCUUAUAUCUUUUGCUGAUACUUUUGGAGCUACACGCUUAAGGUAUGAAAUGUUGACUUGACUCACCUGUUACCGAUUUCCACUAGUUUUUUGAAGGCUUUUAUCCUCAUUCCAAAAUUAAUGUUAUCCACUGUUUUUCUUCUUUUCUCUCAUUUGGAGGUUCGGUGGGUGUGUAUCUUUAUUAAAGGACGACAUCUCAGUUUCGGUUUUUUAUUUUCAGGGAAGCAUGCAUUAAUUUCAUAAAUCUAUACAAGCAAAAGAACGAAGAUAGGCUUUGGAUGGAAGAAAUAGCAGCAAUGCAGGCACUUUCUCAGCCACAACUGCCGUACUUGGGAACAUCAGGAAUAAUUCUUGCUGGAGAAGAUAAUGACCCCCAUCAGAAUCUCAUGAUAAAUGUUAACCAAAACAUUCUUUCUGUUGGGAAGAAUAGCUCAUUAGACACAUUAGUGUCGGAGUCAACAAGUCAUGGAAGUCUCGACGCGAACCAAGGUAUGGUUAAACACCCAAGAGUCGUUCCCGUUUCUGCCUAUAAUUUGGCUGUGAUCUACUCGGCCCAAAAACUUGUAUUGCAACUUUGUAUUAGAUAACUCCAUCCAUGACAUGGUUAAAAAAUCACAAUCUACAGAUAUUUCGAUGAUCAUCUUCUUUUUCAUUUCACAUCUGAACAAUCUUAGAGAGAAGUUAAUAAUAUUAAUAAUAGGAAAGAAACUCAGCUUCCAUCUCCAACGUCUUCUUGUCUUGUGCAGAUAAUAGCUUGCCAACAUCGAUGUCAUCAAUGGAUGGGAAGGCACAAGUACCAAACCCAUGGCCAAACCAGCAUCCUCAGUACAUGCACAAUUUCCAAGGUCCUGUGUAUCCACAAAGGCACCCGUAUCAAGGUUACCUUUUUCCUGGUAUGCAGGUUCCGACAUAUUAUCCAGGGAAUAUGAACUGGCCUCCGAAUGGGGAAGAAUCUGGCCCUAUUUUUGAUCAGGAAUCCGAUGGACGGAGGAAUCGUAAAUCUCAUAGGAAUAAAAAGAAACAUUCUCAUGAAAAAGUAGUAGAAACUUCAGACCAAGAUGUAUCCGGUGACAACACUGGCUCCAGUUAUGAGAGUGAAUCUGAUGAUCAGACGCAUAAGCAAAGGCAUGGGAGAAAGUCCUCGAGAAAGGUUGUUAUCCGAAAUAUCAAUUACAUAACCUCUAAGAGGGAUGGAGAAACAGGAAGUACGUCUGAGGGAAAUUCAUCCGACAAGGAUGGAUUUGUUGAUGGGAAAUCCAUUAAACAGCAGGUAGAGGAAGCUGUUGGGUCAUUUGAGAAGAAACAUAAAUCAACCUCACAUCGUCAUAAAAAACAAGGUGGAGGCAAGUUCCGUGGCGCUGUGGAUGAUUCAAAUAGUGGUGUUGCAAGUACUUAUGAGGGAGAAAAACAAAAUGAAAACUGGAAUGCUUUCCAAGACCUUCUCAUGAGGGACAAGGAUGAAAGUUCGUUUGCUACAGAACCACACAAUGUACAGAUUGAGGAGGAAUAUUUUUCAAGUAAGAACUCUGGCGAAGGAAAAGUGACUAAGCAACGAGCAGAUUCAAGUGAAUUUUUUGUGGUGACAGAGAGGGAUUCAAGUAAUGAUAGUAAACCACGUGUCCAAUACUUCGAAGGUGACGAGAAUGUUGGCCGGAUUACCAAGAAAGAAGAUAGCACAUAUGAGGACGUAUUAUUUUCACGGAGAACUGAAGAAUCUGGAAACAAAUCCCAUGAUACUUUAUCUGAUUGUGUCAAUGAAUCGUACAUAACCAAAUGUUCUAAAGAAGGGGAUUGGUUCAUGAACAACCAAACAGAUAUAUCAGCAAAUAGGGAUGUCAAUAAUGAUCUGAAAUUGUUUGAUGGUGUUGAUGCAAUUCAUGCGGAGAGGAAUAAGAGAGAUGUUCUAGGGGAUGACUCUUUCAUGGUUCAAGGCCGAUCACUAGUUGAUCAAUCUGAUUCUCAGUUCAGGACAGAUAUAAGCUUCGUCCCAGAGAUCAAUGGAGCUACUCAAGAUGAAUAUGGCAUGCAAGAAACUUCAAAUGAUAAACCUGAAGCGUAUAGUGUUCAUGAACCGGAUGACCUUUACAUGAUGCUUGACCGUGGAUCAGCUAUGGAGCAUGCUGUGGCACCAUGGACUCCCGAAAUGGAUUAUGAAACUAUUGCUUCAUCAUUUGAAGCUACUAAGAAGAAUCCUGGCACUGAAGCAAGUGAUUCCGUUGAAGUUAAGCAGCCUUCUGAUGGUAAGGGAAGGAAUGAUAAAAAUAGUGGAAUUCCUGGACAAAAAGCCAGGUCUAAAGUUGUAAAUGGAUCUUUGGCGAAAAGCAAGUCUGAUGUCAUGUCAAGAAGCAAGAAACCUGCUCCUGUAAGCAAAAGCACAGUCCACAAGAGCAAAUCUGAAAUGGUAUGUACUGAAAGAAACUCCCUUUAUAAGGUUUUCUAAGAUAGUUUUAAAGAGUUUGUAGUCAUAUCACUGACUGUAUCUGAUAUUUACUAUUUCUUUAAAAGAUUUUUCGCCCCUUUUCCCGUCAAUUUAUUAGAAAUUUAUUAUUUGGUGGCUUCAUUAUGCAGUUGAACUUUCUGUUAUGUGUGUUAUGUGUUUCCCAAAUCAAAUGGAAUUUUCACUUUUUCUUAGAUGUCUUGAGACUUGAUUUUUGUUCAUUGCUACUAACACUCUCCCUCUCCCUUCCAUUUCCUUUUUGCUGGUUUAUUGACUUUCUUUUCCAAUAUUUAUUAGGAAAAAGAGCGGAGAAAGAGAAUGGAGGAGUUACUGAUUCAACGCCAGAAGAGAAUUGCUGAAAGGAGUGGUUCUGAUACAGCAAUAUCUAAGAAGGCCCCAAUGGACAAUAAAACUACCAAAAUCUCCAUGACUAACUCGAAGAAUGAGACUAAGAAAUCAGAUAAGCCUGUCAUGCGGAAUUCCACCAUUGAACGCCUUGCAACUGCACGAGUAACUGAAAAGUUAACACCAACUUUGCCAAGUGCUGGCCAACCCAAAAAACAGAACAUCAAGGCAAACGGUGUGGUUGCAAGUGCCUCAUCACAGAAGGCAGCUGCUGCAGUGAAUAAGAAACCCACUCCAAACAAAGCCAAACCUUUGGGUACAGAAGAGGACCUGAAGAAAUCAAAUCAAUUAACUUCAUCUGACUCUAAUGUCCAGGAAAAGGUUUGCAUAGAAUCCACAGAAGCACUGCCGGUUAAGUCAGCAGCUGCAGUUGUAACUCAACCCACCUGUUCCAUCAAUCAUUUGGAAGAGAAAAAAGAAAUCCAUGGUACAUCAUCUGUUGAAAAGAAUGAGGGAAAUUUGAUGUUUCAAAGAGAGGCCCUGGAGAAUGGUAGCACCAAUGGGUAUUCUCCCAAUUUGGUUUCAUCUGUACCUUUUGAAGAGAACGCUCAAAAACUGAAUCAGUUUACAGGAGAUGUUGAAGAGUUGCCUAAAGAAUUUCCAGUUCUGAGUGAAGACAAGAGAAAUUAUAUCUCGGAAAUGAGUGUAUCUCCUCCUAUUCUGGGAUCACCUAAGAAAGCUUUGAUUGUUUCAGCUGUGAACAAUGAAGAAACUGGUGCAAAAACAAAGAAUUUACCAAUUUCUGAGAUCUCUGAGAUAGAAAUCUCUACUCCACCAAGUGAUGAAACACUUGCGGAACUCCACUCCAGGAAGAAGUGGAACAGUGAUGAGAACUCUCCUAAAGCUGCCAAAGGGUUUAAGAAGCUUCUAUUGUUUGGGCGGAAGAGCCGAAACACUCCUGUCAAUUGAUAUUUGUGGAACUAAGAUAAUUCAUUGCUAGUAGCUUUUGUUUGCAGCAUGUCAUAAUAUUUUUCCAUUGGUUUUUUGGGUUGUUCGUGUCCAAAAGGGAUGGACCGACCAAUUGAAUUGCUUGAUAAUGCAGCUGAUGCAUUCUUUAUGGCUGUCAAAUGGAAUAGCCUCACCGCUCUCGUAUCCAAUAAGGCUUCCGGGUGUUGCUGCCACACAAGGAGAGCACUGUAAGUUAUGUAUUUUUUUUUUGUAUAUCCUAGGAAGAUAGAAAGAUAGCCAUCUGCUUAUUUGAUAUAGCUUGUGCAUUUGAAUUGAUAGACAAUACGAGCUAUUUUCUGCAUCUCUUGUAAUAUUCUCUUAUAUCAAAUCUGUUUGUUUGUGUAAGAACAGACAUCUUUGCACCUUUGUUAAUCAGCAAGUACAUAAUGUUUGUGAUAUCACUGAUCCACACAGGCUGAACUUGCCGAUCUACUAGUUUAGAAUAGCCGUUUGAUUGGUCUUGGAAUAAGAAUUCGUAAGAUGUAUCUGUCGUUCGUUGACAGGGUCGAACUGUUUUUGGUUAGAUUUGUCAUGGAGGCCUUGACAGUUCUGAACUAAACCAAUUAGAAUUCUCCUGUCUGUAUAAGUAAAAUGUGCAUAGAAGAAUGAGUAGUUGGAAUCCUAAGAGUUUAAGUAAAAAUAUACUCAAUUCGGUAACAGUACGUUCAUAAAGUACCAUGCAAGCAUCAUUCACUGUAAACGAAAUCAUCAGAUUAACCCCAUUGCUGCAUCCUUCUCAAGAUAAUCAGAAAACUGAAAAGUUUUUACGAUGCCUAUACUCUGCCUUGAGACACUUCAGUUUGGCUACUAGAUCAUCAUAUUCCGGAAGCUUGGGGUGGACAUGGCUGGAGCAAGGAGACGUUCCCUGCGCCAUUUUAUGUCCAUCAACCGGACCAGCGAAAGAAUUGCGACUCCUCACCAACAUCUUGGAGCGAUCUUUGUUCACAGCAUCCCCAUUUGUACUUUUUCUAGGUGUAGUAGUCAUGGCAUGUGUCCUAGGGUUUCCAUUUCCGUCCCGUAAGUCGAUAUCAUUUUUCUUGAUUUUGUUUAAGCAAACUGAACCAGCAGUUGUACUUGAGCCAUUAUGAAAAUGGCAUAGCGUGGCCAGUGAAAGCUUACCGUUCGCCAGCGAACAACGUAUCCGAGAACUCUCCUCCGUUUCCGAAUUCGGAAUUUGUAUUUGAAUCCCAUCAGCUUUCUGCUCAUCCUUGAAAUCUCUGUCUGCAAAGCUAUAAUUCUGUGCCAUCAGGAAAAGCACUUUUAGGAAGUCAUCAAAUUUACAUUUCAAAUAUAUUAGGUUCAAACCACAAGUAGGACUAAAUGUUAUUGUGCAAGGUUAUAAACUUCCGAUGUGAGGUUCUAUUAACAAUGUCGUCGAUAAUGUGGUCAGUAAAUGUGAUACAAAUCACAUUUGUGCGCACCUGGUGUGUCGUGCCUUGGCUAUCCUGAAGCGCCAGCUGGACAUUGGUGUUCUUCAUUAUAUCACCUAUUAAAUACUGUUUCACUUCGUCCGGAAUCAGAGUUAUGCAUAGUUUCUCCUUCAACUGAGAAUUCACAAGAUUCCCAGCACGUAAUUCGACACUGAUAACGUCGAGUUCCCAUCCGUAUUGCUCUUUGAACAGGCCACGCAACAGACGUAGCUCUGGCAGUUCACCACAUCUUGAGGCAGCAAAUAUUAAACUUGCAACUGCUUCUCCAACAGCACCAGGCAAGUCCUGCACUGCCCUGCAGAAUUUAUUGGUUUGUUAAAUUUUAUUUUGUAUAAGCUUUAUCGGGGAAGGGAACAAUUGAACACGGAACUUCAAGUAACGGUGAAUGCUUUUAACGAACUGAGUUACAAAUCCCUUGAUACUUACCUGUUAUUGUACACAUGGACAAUACUGGUGGUAAUGCAAUUGCAGAAAUGGGCAAUUUGAUCAUAUGCAGCCAAUAAGCACUGGUCCUUGUGGAGUUUCUCAACCUGGACAUAAGAACAAAAGGGGUGGUCAAAAGUUGUCCCUUAAAGAGACUUAAAACCAAAUUAACGCCUUUUGGGUGAUUGUUAAAACUAAGGGGUGGUCAAAAUCACUCCUUAUUGCGUUUGGCAAAAAAAAAAAAAAAAACUAAAAAAGUGUCCAAACAAUAGAAGUAUUUUUUUAAGAAACAAGUGUUAGAUGUUUCUUCAAGAAGCACUUAAAUGUUUUAUAAAACUUUCAACAUAUUUUUAAUAAAAGCACUUCUAAUGAAGGUUCUUAUUACCAUAAGUGCUUCUUACAUAAGCAAUUUCAAAUUUCGACAAAGAAAAAAAAAGAAGUAAUUUCAAAUGAGUCCCAAGAUCCACGAUGUAUCAUACAACAACAAAAAGGGUCUAUUAGUAACUAGAAGUGCAUUACUUUGUACGUAUAUCAUGUGACAAGAGAGAAAGUUAUGAGAUAUCAUGUGACAAGAGAGAAAGUUAUGAGAAAUAUAUCUCCCAUUGUACCAAAGUAUCUCUCUCAUACCACAAGAGUCGGGUCAAAACCCAAGUGGCCAAAAUUGAUUUCUUUAAAAAAAAAAACAUGGGUAAAUGAUGGGAAAAAAAAACACAAUUAGGUACUGCAAUCCUUGAUUAGCAAGAGAUUAAAUUACCCUAGGUAAAGCUUGCUCUAGCUGUCCAUUUCGGAGAAGCAGAGAGAUGUCAACACGUGCCUGCCUCACAAUAGCAUCUCUCCUAUUCUUUUGGAUGGUUAAAUGCUUCUGCACUUGCGUAACCAGGCUCUUGCUGCAAUACAAGCAUGCACCAUUAGUCACCUCGGCACAGUCAUAUUUGAGUUUGAUGUAAAUCUUUUAUUUUUAAACAAUAGGAGACUAGAAAUCGAACGUGAGAUCUCUUCUAACAUUUGACAGUAAUACCAUUAGAGAGAUGUUCUUAGUUGUGUAACCAAAAUUUGAUAACCCUGUGCAUAUCAAGUUCAAUGUGGCACAACACUUAAAAAUACGUAUAAAAUCGUAUCUGAGCAGGGCAGCAUGUUUACGAUUAACAAAGUCUCGACCAAUAAUAUGUAGUAACCCGAUUCCGAAGAAAAUAACUACAAGCAUUUACAUCAUUGUAAAACAAAUGAUAAUCAUUUACACCAUCAUUGAUGAUCGGUAUAUAAAACGUAAAGGAUUGCAGUACUUAGGCUUAGCCAAGUUGGCUACAGCAGUGUGCUCCUUCCGCACCCAAGUGCAAAUUUCCUCUUAGUAGUUUACAGGAAUUAGUGUAGAAUAUCGUUUGUAACAAACAAACAAAACAAUAAUAAUAAAACUUAAAGGGUCAAGAAAGAUUGUUUUACCAUUUGGACACUUUUCUCCAUCUUGAAGCCUUGGUCCAUAUAAUUGCAGCUCGGAGUGCACCAUACCACAUUGUUUUCUUGGUUUUGCUUUGUCCUUUUACAAAAUGGCUUUCUCACUUCUGCACUGAAAAUUUGUUAUCCAAAGAAGAAGAACAAAAUGAAGAAUUUUAGGGACUAUUUUGGCUUUGGCAAUGUGAUGGGAGAGGAAAGUUUUGGCCUUUGGGACUCAUUAGGGCAGUAUUUACAUAUCAACUUAAUAGCAGAUACUAAUUUUCUCAAGUAAAAAGUAAACCAUCUUUUGUAUUAGGAAGGUGAUCUUAUAACCAAAAGGGUAUAUAAUUAAUUCAAUUUAAUUACUCCAAGAUCUUUAUGCCAUUUCAGAAAUAUCUCCUUGGUUAUACAAAAAUCAUUUACGAACAUCAUCAGCCAGAAAGUUGUAAUCUUUUGAGAAUUUUUUACCACAAGAUUAGAUAGUUUUCUUAGGAAAUGAAUUCGUGCAUGCAUUUAGGUAUAUAUUAUAUAAGAUUUGUUCAUAAAAUAUCGUAAGAAUAUGUUAUACUAGCCGUCAGAUUAGUCCUUGUAUUUAAGUUCACUUUUAUUUCUUUCUUUUUAUUUCUCAUUUUCCAUAGAAGCUAUUACGAUUUGUCUAUGUUAUGCGUACACCUUAAUUGGCAAAUAGACAGAUUCCAAAAAUAGUGAAAAGCAGCGGUUCCCUAAACGAUAGUAAAUUGUACAAGAGGAUAAGGUGCACAAAAGUUGCCUCAUUUGUUAAUGGUGGAUUUGUGUUUCUUUUAAUACAAACGAUAUUGAUAAUAAUUUAUACUAGGGGGAUGAGAGGGUUUGAACCUGGAUGAAGCAUUUGGUUCUUGAAAACGAGCGAGUUUGCAGCAUAAGAUUCUACAUGCUUGUUUAUAUUGUUUUUUUUUUUGGGUCAAAGCUUGUUUAUAUUGUUAUACAACCCUUUUUGUCUCGCAUACUUUUAACCCUAGUGAAGCCACUUUUAUACCACCCUAUCUCCUUUAAAUUUAUGAUCAACUAUUUUUGUGGCCUCUGUGGUGACCCCGCUCUUUGAACGGUGAAAGAGCUUGUUAAUUAAACACAAGCAAUGUUUAAAAUAUUGAUAUAGGUGGAAAUAUCGAUAUGCAAAUUAAUAGAUAUAUAUUGAUAUCAAUAUCGGUUGAUCUUCGACGAAUUAUGAAAAUUUGCAAUGGGAGGAGAAUAUCAACUCAUUCAGAUUUUAGUCAAAAUUAAAGAAAACUUUCUCAUAAAGAGUUGAAAAGAUUGAAAUCUGUAAUUGGUUCCGACAAUAUUUUUGCAGUGAAUCGGUGAACAUUGUCGAUAUUCAUUGAUUUUUCCAAAUCUCAUCGAUAUGAAAUUUGCAUUUCACCUCCUUUCCAUAUUCAUCCUUAAAUUUUUGGAUAUUUCAACAAAAAUAUCGUCAAUUUCGUAAAUAAUUUAAACAUGGAAUACAAGUAGUGAUUCCCAUUAUUCUUCCAUUAAAAGAAGAGUUAAAGUUAUCAUUUCAAUCAAAUCUAAAUAGUCUUGAACAUUUUUUUUCUUAAAAAAACCAAAAAAAAAAAAAAAAGUCUUGAACAUUAGUCAUACGAGUUUGUGGAGUUUAUUCGCUAUAACUACUCAAAGUUGGGAAUGAUUUAGGGUUUGACGGGAAAACGCCCCAAUGAACUACAAUACUCACAUAUUUUAUUUAAUCAUUUCAUUAUCCAAUAACUUGGAAAGCAAUUUCAUGUAACAAAUAGCUUGUGUACACUACUACAAUAUAGGCUAUCACCGGCGAAGCAAAAACCGACAAUAAACCUAAUUUCUGUCGGAAAGUUGGCAAAAAUCCGACAUAAAACAAUGUAAUGUCGCAUUUCAAUAGCGACACUAAUGCUUGCGUCACGAAAGGCCUUCAGUGUCGGUUUGAUUGCUUAAUCCGCCACUAUGCAGCGUUGUUUCAAAGCGACACUGACAUUAGCGUCGCUUUAAAGCGACGUACAUUUGAACAUUAAUUAUAAUAUAUCCACCUCACUGUCGGUUCUAACCAACAUUCCCAUAAAAUUAUAUAAAUAAAAUAUACCUAAACCGACGUUAUAUAACCAUUAAAUAAAUAAAAUAUUCAAAUUUAGCAAUUUAAUUAUAAUAUAUAGCCACCCUACUGUCGAUUCUAACAGACAUUGUCUUACAAUUAAAUAAAUAAAAUAUACUAAACCGACGUUAGAUAACAAUUAAAUAAAAAAAAAAUAUUCAAAGUCAGCAAUUUAAUUAUAAUAUAUAUCAACCAUACCGUCGGUUCUAACCAACAUUGUAAUAAAAUUAAAUAAUUAAAAUAUUCCUAAACCGACGUAAGAAAACCAUUACAUAAAUAAAAUAUUCAAACUAGUAACGGUCUUAACCGACACUACCCUUGUUAAUAUUAAUAAAAAAAACGUAAAUCUGCAUCAUUUUCAAUUAAUUGGUACUAAAAUAUACAAACAUUAAUAAAAAAAAUUAACAAGACAUAUAGUGCCAAAAUAUACAAAUAUUAUACAUCAAACGUUCCACAUAAUAUACAAAAACUCAUCCGUCACAACAAACACUAAAUCCGACAUUACAAACAUAACAUACAAAAACAAAAAUAUAGAACAAAUGUGUCAUAUUUAUCCGCCAAGAAAGCGGACCAAAUAAACUACUCAACCGAACCUGAGCCUGAAUGUGGCCCAGAUCCUUCUCCUCCUUGAGAUCCUCCUCCUCCUUGAGAUCCUCCAUCUGCUCCUAAAUACCUUGUGAAGUCCACAUCAAAUCCACCACCAGCAAGCAUUCCAGAAAACCCCCCAACUGGAACUUCAGGACAAAAUACAGCAGGAGCAGCCAUCUCAGGUUGAUAUACUGGCGUUUGAUAAUGUGAAUACUGCUGCAUGUAUGACAUGGGAGGAUGCUGCAUAUAUGGCAUGGGCGGCUACUGCAUGUAUGACAUGGGCGUAGGCAUCGGAUACAUAGGAUAUGAAGGUUGCUGAUUAUGGCCAGCAUACGGAUAUGCAGGGGGAGGCUAACUAUGGCCCAACUGUUGAGGAGGCUGACUCUGGCCUGACUGUUGAGGAGGCUGACCCUGGCCUGACUGUUGGGUUCCCGGGCUAUACGGCGGUUGAGGCUGAAAGUUUUGAAGAAACAUAGUAAGCAACUGAUUAGUAUGUUCAAACUUGCCCUCUAGGUCCGAAAGCCGUUUAUUAGUAUUUUCUUCCCUCAUUCUCAACACAUUAUUUUCAAUCAUCAACAAUGCCAUUGCACUAUUAGAUGACCUCCUGGAGGAAUUUGAUGUAGAAGAUGAAGAAGAUGCAUAGGACACCAUAUCAGGAGUCACCCCAUGACCAUACCCUCUGACUCUGUUAUGAGUCUCAGGACCCAUUGUAUCAACAUAAACACGGGUUCUAAGUUCUUCAUUAUCCUCUUGGCCCGACUCAAUCAAAUUUUGCAAAUUGCCCUCCAUUGUUGCCUUGCAUUACAAUUUAAAAAAAAAAAAAAUCAAACAAUAGUAAAACAGAAAAAUAAGUUAUAGAUAUUAAAAAUUAAUAACAACAAACGACAAACACGAAAAAAUCAACGAAAACAUCAAUUACCGUUGUACGCUCUGACGUUUCAUCAAUCCAACUUUAAUCCUUUCGUGUAUGACAUUCACAGAAAAAGGUUACUGGAUCCGCCUCUUUCCCAUGCUGGUUCCGCUUUAUGAAAAAUAAAGUUUCAUACAAACAAUUUUAAGCACACCUCAUACUAAAAUAAAAUUUAUAAUUAUGUAUUAUUUAAAAUUAACAACAUAUCUUUAAAGUGAACAAUCCUUACAAAUUCUUGCCAUUUUCUUGCAAAAGAUUUUGUCCCAGUAGUAUGGUUCAUUGUUUUCUUUUUCCGAUUAAUCUUAUUUUUCUCAGCAACCUCCUGACAAAAAAGGGGAAUUUUUUAGGCAAAUUUAAAGUUAAAACGAAAUAAAUCAUAUAAUAAUUACCCUAGUUUUUUCCUUAUUCCAGUAUGCCACCAAUGCAGCCCACUGUGCAUGAUUCACUUCAGGUGGAGGGUGGCUGCGCUCCUCUUCUGCUCUUUUAGAAUAAUGCUCUUUUUUUAACUUAUUUCUAUAUUCUUUAUGUGCAUGCUCAGCAAUCUUAAGCGUCAUAUGGCGAAUUAUAGGCAUUUUCACAAUAUUAGCAUCUUCAAAAAAAAUAUUACCCUGCAUUCAUAAAAAAAUAAUCAAGCCAAUCAAUUAUUAUUACAUUUAUCGCUUUUUUCUUCUAUUCUCAAGGAAAAAAAAUUAUAUAUAUACCUUUAUUCUAUUCCACAAAACUUCCUUAUCUUCUUCCUUAAUCUUACGCCAAUCCCUCUCUAACGGGAAAUUUCUGUUGUCUCGUACCUCCGCUGCUAGAAGUCUUGAAAAUUCACUAGACUUAUCACUAAUGCAUUUUCCGGACGAAUCAAACGAACAAAGCUGUUUCGUCCAUUUAGGAAUUAAGGGUCCCCGCCUCCGUUGAGAUGUUCCUUAUUAUAACAAAAAAAAAAGCAAUUAAAAACACAGAAACAAAUGUAGAUUUUCAGUUUAAACAUAAUACUAGUUUAAACACAAAACAAAACUGAAAUUAUAAUAACCUUAGCUGCGAUCUUUUUUCUUGAGCUACGAUCUUUUUUCUUGAGCUAUCAUCUGCGUUGGUAAUUUUAUAUCUUGAUUUACCACAAACCGAGCACACGGUCAAAUCCGAAGUAUCUUUCCAAUAGAUCAUGCAAUCAUUGGGACAUGCAUCAAUUUUCACAUACGACAGACCCAAGUCAUUUAUAAGUUUUUUUGCCUUGUAACGGGUUUCAGGCAAACAAUCCCCUUCAGGCAAUAUUCUUUUAAUUAACUCCAGUAAAGUGGUGAAGAUCUCAUCUGGCAUUCCCACUAAACACUUAAUCUGAUACAGUCUUACAACUGCUUCCAAUUUCUUAAACUGCUUACAACCUGGCCACAAAUCUUGAUCUGCCUCUUCAAGCAACCUAAAAAAAGUCUCCACCUCUUCUGGACGCCCUUCCCUAAUGGGGGGUUUAGUAGACGGCCCAACACUUUCUUCUGUUAAUGGUUGGACAAAUACAUCAUUAAGAAAAUCAUGCAUGCCAAUCACCUCAUCUCCUGUUUCUUCUUCUCUAAUUGCCAUAUUUUACUCUCCAAUGUUUUGCUCGCCAUGAUGUCGCCACCAAGCGUUUUUAUAAUCUUUAUCCAUAUCAUACAAUAUGAGAUGUUCAACAAUAGUGUUCCUAACAAAAGUGUAUCGAUUACAACAUCUUUUGUAAGGACAUCUAAACUUAUCAGGUCCAACACCAUUUGCAACUGCUUGAUCCAAAAACAAAUUAAUUCCAGCUGUAUACGCUUCAAAAUUUCGAGGUAUCGUCAACCAACUCUUGUCCAUGCUUUACCACUUUACGAGGGCAAAAUAGUACGUUCACACUAAGAUGCCUACAAUCUUUCAAUCCCUAUCAUGUAGGCAUAACUAUUAGAAUUUUCAAUUUCUAUCUUUCAACCCUCGAACUCUAUCACAAUUGCAAUCUUUUAAUUUUCAACACCUAUUAUAGUGAAAACAAAUUAAAAUAACAACAAAAAUUUAUCAAAAUUAUGCUUAUCUAAUCCAUUCUAAUAAAUACCAACCAAAAGUUAUCAAAAUAACAGCAAAAACAAAUUAAAAUAACAAUUACAGUACAAAACAAAUUAAUUUAACAUAAUAUAUUCUUAUAUUACUAAAUAUCAUAAGUUUAUGUUAUAUUUAAUAUUGUUAAUUUAACAUAAAUGCUAAUAAAUAUUAUUCAUUUCCAUUUUCUCAUAACAAUUCAAGUGACAAAAUUAAUUAAUUCGACUAAAUAUAAAUUAAUUUAACAAAAAUAAUAGAAAUUUAUCUAAGUACUUAAAUUAGAAUUUUUAAAUAAAUAAAAUUGUGUUUUAUACAAUUAAAGAAUUUAGUGAUAGAAACCUGAAUUAUGGAAGAAUUCCGUCGUCGAUGAAUUCUUUAUGUACUCAAGCAGCUCAAAUAAAUUCCCUACAAAAAUGAAUUGUAAAUAAAAAUUAAACAUAAUAGGAGAGAAUAAAAAUAUUAAAAGCAAAAAACACUUACUGUUGUGAAGAAGUAACAAACGAAAUUGGAAUAACAAAUAAGAAAGGUCUAAGUGAAAGAACAAGGGGAGGGUUUGUAAGAGAGGAAGAACAAACAAGAAAAAUGGAAGAGAGGAUGAAAGAGAACACGGGAGGGUAUAUAAAGACCCUCAAUCCGUCGCUACAACCGACACUAAGUUUUAAAAUAUUUUAAAAAACUAAAAUCUAUGUCGCUCAGAACCAACGCAGGCUUUAAAUUAUUUAAAAACAAUAAUUUGUGUUGCUUAAAAGCGACACUAAUACUUUAUGUCGCUAAAAAGCGACACUGUUUUGUUUAAAGCGACGCUAUUAUUUAAAAUUAUUAAAAUAUAUGUCGGUUAUAAGCGACAUUAAAUGUUUACGUCGGUUUAAAAGCGACGUAGAAAUUUUAUGACGCUUAUAAGCGACAGUAAAUCCGACGUCAUCUUCAGUUAGUGUCGCAACUGUCUUAUCCGCCACUAUAUUAAAUUAAACUGACGCCACCUACUGUGACACAUCCCGUCCCGAAGUAGGGCAUGCUGGCCGUCACGUGAGAGUGACGUAACCAUUUGCACAGUACGGAAGCUUUAAGAUACAAUUUAUAAGUUGAUACACCCGAAGGUGAGUCCUAAUUUUGUCCAAUCUGUCAGAACACCGUCGAAUUCCUCGUAGUCACCACACCUUUGUGAUUUUUGAACCUGGAGGGGCGCAAAACCAAAAUUGAGUGGGUCAGUAAAACAAUUCUUUUCCAAAUCCAAACAUUUCUCAAAACGUUGUAACCCCUCUCCGUAAAACCUGUAUACUUUCCCAGAAAUGUAAAAUAUAAAUCUACAUAUAUAUUCUCAAGACUUCAAGUCGUUAACUCAACAUUUUCAUACAAUUAUGCCAUGCCACAUCAUCUCAACAUUUCUCAUAUUAAUUAUGCCAUGCCACAUCAUCUCAACAUUUCUCAUAUUAAUUAUGCCAUGCCACAUCAUCUCAACAGUAAUAAGGUAUGAAUGCAUCAACAUAAUCAUAUCAGGUGCAAGAAAGUAAUCAACCGUAGGCCCUCUAAUAGCCCUGUACGGUUGAACCUAGAGCUCAAAAUCUAUCACUCUCACACUCUGCCGGAGUCACUCCGCGUGACCUGUACGGCCUUCUGCACAUAAGUUACGCUCUAGUGCUUCUCAUAAUCAUUUGUGCACAUAAUCUAAGGUCACCCACCAGUCGGAAUCUCACUAACACUCUCGCGACUGGCCUGUCGUACCCACUCCGCGUGGACUGUACGACUAGCAUCUACUUGGAUCCAAGACGAGCGUGCGAUGCGGUGAAUACUAUAAGCACUAAACUAUGGUGCAGGAUUUGAGCUCAAUAUACAUCAACAUCAUCAUAACAGAAAUAAAUACUCACAUGUGCGUCCACCGCACCAUUUCAUACAUAUGCAUCAUAAAUCAAUUCUUACCCGUGCGUCCACCGCACCAAUUCAUACAUAUGCAUCAUAAAUCAAUUCUUACCUGUGCGUCCACCGCACCAAUUCAUACAUAUGCAUCAUAAAUCAAUUCUUACCUGUGCGUCCACCGCACUAAUUCAUACAUAUGCAUCAUAUAUUAAUUCAUGCAUGGCAUUUCAACUCACAUUUCUAAAUACUUUUCAUAUCAAUUCUAUGCAUGGUAUUUCACUUCCCGUUUUUCCACAUAACUCAUAUGCAUUUCAUUUUAAACAUAUUUUCAUUUCAAUUCAAUUUCUGGGAAACGUCAAGUAUAUAUAUAUAUACGGAAAACAAAACUGCCCACUCACCUGGAGUUCGUCCAACAACUCCCUAGCACCACACAUCAAGGCGUCACGACGAUCGGCGCCUAAAACAAUAAUCAAAUCUAGCCUCAGAAUUCAUAUCGAUAGAACAUAUAACUUAUAUAAAAUACGUCACUACGUAGUUCGAUCCGGAAGAUCUGCCACUCAGAUUUUAAAUCCAUAACUUCCAGAGGUCCACAAUAUAUCUCUAGGAUAACAUCCUAAAAUUUCAUUUCCAUCCAACGGUCGGAUCUCCGUCAAUUUCCAAAACUAAGUGACGGUUAACAUUUUAUAUUAUGGACUUACAACUCCAAUUCCGGAAGAUCCGUAACUCGGAUUCCCAAUCCGUAAGUUCCAAUAAUCCUCCAAUAUUACGUAUUACAACGUAUCAAAGUUUGGUGAUGAUCCAACGGUCGGAUCGUCAAUUCAUAUUUUCACCUAAAUGCAAAAACUAUAAAACGUUAUUUGAACACCUAACCAACAAUCCUUAACAACUUUCUCAUACGGUGCUCAAUUUGGGUAUAUGAAUAUACCACGGUGAUCUACUCGACGUCACGGACGUCGAAAUAUUUUUAAAAUAAUUUUUUACUGUAGCACGCGACCCCACGCGCCAAGGAAGGCACGGACCUACGCGCCCCCACGCGCACCUUCUUCUUCCUUGGGUCGCUGGACUGGUUUUUCCGGUGACCGGAAAACUGGGCAUUUUUCAAAUGCCUUGUUCUCCUUCGUUUCUCAACCAUUUUCUUCGUAUAAUAUAUCAAAUUGAAGCCCCAAACAUGUAGAAUCACAAUAUACUACUUUAAAGCUCUAAAAACCAUGAAAUCUCACCGGAAAAAUUCCAAGAAAACCGGCCAAAGAUGAACCACGUGAUCCCGGCGUCUAAAUCCUUCAAACGAAGCACUCCGAGCUUCCUUGGGACCUCACUAAGCUCACUAUGAACUUGGAUUGUCCUAAAAUCAACCAACAAAAAGUUCAUGAAUAGUGCCAAACUCGGACCUCGAGUUUUCAACGCGAAAACGAAGGAUUCCUUACCUGAAAAUGGUGUCUACGUGAUCGUGGAGGUUCCAGGAGUUCGAUGGUGGUCUUAAAUUGGACGUUCGUGGAGGUUUGAUUGAGGUUGUGUGUGAGUCCGUAUGUUCGAGAGUAAGAGAGAGAGUGAGAGAGAGUUUUCUGAGAAGAAUAAGAUAGAGAGAAGAGGUUACGGGUUUUAGGGAGGGAAUUCAGGGUAGGAGGCCCUACCUAAGUCCAAACACAAAUUAACCAUAGUUUCGGAUCUUUAGAUAACACAAUGUCGUACAUUUACGCACCUUAAUCCCGUUUAAGGGCAUAUUGGUCAUUUCACGUCCUCGGAAUUAAAAUUCCGAGACGGGCUGUGACAAUCUCCCCUCCUUAUAGAAUUUCGUCCCCGAAAUUCCAGCCACCAACCAACCCAUCAAUACUCAUACCAAACUCGGUAAGUUUCUUUCAUCCGAUUCUUUUUCUCCUACGAAAUUUUCUUCCACUGAAUAAUUCCUUCACAAAACUUUUACCAUUUACUCUAUCUUAACUCUCAUGAUCUUCUUUUUCCAAUCCAAAGUUGUCAUUAGCUCCUCACUAAUUAGAUCCAGUUUAAUUCUCAAUAGUUACACCAGAAUUCCAUGAGACGACUCUGCCACCUAGUGACAACGCAUCGAACACAAAAUACAUUAAGUACCGUUGCCCUGUCUGGGAAAAAGUUAUUACUCAGCACUGGAGUAAUUGUACUAACUUGGUACAUUGCCCAACUAUCACUUCAAAUUCGAUCAUAACCAUCCUAUGUACAAGGAAACUUGUACACAUAAUCCAAAGUAAUAUCUUUCCAUUUCCACUGCGAAACAGAAAAUAGUUAUCUCAAUCCAAAGGUUUAUCUUUUUCUGCCUCAAUCUGCUGACCAAAUAAAACUGUCGAAUGGUAUGAUAAAUCUUAUUACUUUUGGAAUAUUGCAGAAGUUGAACAGUGAACUUCGUCCAAAUUUGCUUGCUUUAAAUCCUCAGCAUUAGGCACAUACUUUUUGUUUUCUUGUAUCCACAUACCAUUUGAUUCACGAAUCAUGUACUCAUUCUUUUUCCCUUCUUUCUCUGCCUUGGUUAAUUCUUAAAUUUCCUCGUCAAACAUUUAAGUUUCGAGUACGACCUUACCAAAAGGCCUAACUUGAAACUUAGCAAGUAUAACUUCUUCUCGAUCUUUCAUUCUUAACUUUACUUUAGUUGGUUUCCAAUCCACAAGAUGAUACUCUUGGCCAACGUGCCAGACAUUAAUUCUUACUGCAAUCUUUUUAUCAAGUGCUUCAACUAUAUCAAUCCCACGAUCACCCUGGUCGUACAAUCAUGUUCAUUAAACAAUUCAAUUUACCUUCGCUGCCUCAUAUCAAAAUCCUUCCAAGUAAUGGAUAUUGAAGACUUUUUGGAUUCGUAAAAUCUUGCAUUCUUACCAAAUAUAAUGCCUUCAUAACUUCACAGCAAGAAUGGUAAUCAUGACUUCCAAGUCACCCGUAGGGUAAUUCAUCUCAGGAGGUUCCAUUUAUCGUGAAACGUAUGCAAUCACCCUAACAUUUGCAUCAACAUGCCUCCAAUACCAUUCAAGAAACAUCACUAAAAAUUUAUGAUUACCACUAUUCUCUGGGAAUACCAAAAUACGUGCAUGAGUGAGGAAAUACUUCAGUUGUUGAAUCCUUUGCUCACAAUUUCCUUCCCACUCAUACAUAACCUCUUUUCUCAACAGUCUCGUCAAUGACAAAGCAAUGACUAAAAAAUCUUUCACAACCAUCCAAAAUAGCCUGGUAAGCUAAGAAAUUCCGAAUCUCAAUUAUGGCUUGUGGUUGUUCCAAAUUUUUAAUUUCUACUACUUUUUAAGGAUUCACUUGAAUACCUUAAGAAUAUAUAACAUAUCCCAGAAUGCCACCUGAUUCAUCUAACUUUAACAUUUGCUACUUAGCAUACAACCAACGUUCUCUCAAUCUUUGCUUCACCAACUUAAUACGUUUACAUGCUCUGCUCUGGCUCAGAAUAUGCCAGAAUAUCUUCAAUGAAAACGAUAUCAAUUAUCAAAGCAUUAUUGGAAUACUUCAUCCAUCAACUCAUAAAACAACAUGAGUAUCCAUAUAGCAUCACCAAACUUCAUAAAGACUAUAACAAGUCCAGAAAACCAUCUUAUGAUCAACGUCAUUCAUAAUCUUUAAUUGGUAAUAACCAGACUUCAAGUCAAUCUUUGAAAAUAUACAAGCACCUUUGAACUGAUCAAAUGAGCGUCAAUACACCACAAUGGAUAACGGUUCUCAUUCGUUACCCGAUUCCAUUAUCUAUAAUCAAUGCACAAUCUCUAAGUCCAUUUUCUUUUUCACCAACGAACUGGUGCUCCUCAAAAGUGUUAUACUGGGUUGAAUAAACUUUUAUCAACCAAUUCCCUCAAUUGAAUUUCCAAUUCACUUAACUCAUCAUGAACCAAUCUCUAUCAUAAGAUUUAUACCUGGCAACAAUUCAAUAGUGAACCUCACAUCUUUGCAUGAAGGCAAUCCAGGUAUACUUUCAAGGACAACAUUAAGAAAGCGUCCAAUUACCUUUACAUUUUCCAACUACUAGGAGCCACAUUAUUUAGCAUCACAUAAGCUAAGUAUCCUUGACAGAUCUUCGAAAACAAUCUCCUUGCUCUCACAGCAUAAAUAACGGCCUGACUCAAUCCACUUUGCAUACUUACAAAAGUAAUCUCUGGUCAUCCAGAUCGAUGGAAAGUACUGGUUUCCUGUAACAUUCCGUCGUGUCACAAUUAUAACCAACCAAUCUAAUGGAACAGAAUUAACUGAUACAAUAUAUAUUCUAUUAUUAAGCAUUCUGAAGAAGUACAAUACUAACAUAAAAUAAUCUACUAGGUUGCUUGCUUAACAAAUCCACGAAUGAGUUAUUAAUAUUACGGUCUGCAGCCCGCAAUACUGAUAAAUCAUCGUUGUCUCGAUAAGUAGGCAACCACUCUCAAAGAUAUAACAUUACUAUUUUGAUACUCAAUGCAAAAUACAUACACUCGUCUCAACUACAAUUAAUUACUACUCUCUAGGUAAUAACAUACAUAAUAAGAAAUAUAUCAGCCGAAGUCAACUAGAAUGACCAAUACGGCUGAUUCAACUCUUAUCUCAAUAAUACGUCGGUCGGAUCCACUCCGCGUGGUCGGUACGGCCGAGCCUAUAACUCACCAAUUUCUCAUGCGUCAGCCAGAUCCACCUCUCGUGGCCUGUACGGCUGAACAUAUAACUCAUCAAAUCUCUCUGUACUCACGGUCAAUCCGACCAAACUACUAAAUCCAUAACUCUGCUGAAUCGAUACUACGAUGUCAUAGAAAACUGUUGGGUACAACUGAUUCUAGGGACGAUUCAUAAUUUUGUGUCCUCUCUGUUCACAUAAACACAUUCCUUAAUUUCACACUUCCCAAAGUGUUAAUUUUGUACCUGCUGCACAAGGUACAUUUCCUUUACUCGAGACACCUUGUCUCAAAUAUCUGGAUGGAACGAGGCAAGUCUGAAAACUUUCUAUAAUAUUCAUUUAUCGUCAACUUCCUUGAUUCACAUUUGUAAACUCUUGCUUACUACCAUCGAUAAAUGCCGGAGGGAUAAACUUUUCCUUAAACAAGUCCUUAAAUAAUUCUCAAUCAGCUGUUUUCUCCGGUGACAACAAUUAACAAUCCUGUUUCCACCAGGAUACAAAUUCAUACCCAAAACCAGGUAGUCGUCUCGACCCCUUGUCAGAAGGAAGAUUCCUUUGACUUGCAUAAUCCGAAACAUCUUUUCCAAAUGUUUAAACCGUUACUUUGUUCCCUCAGGUUCAUCAUUUCUCUUAUGUGAUUCAAGUUCAACUCAUUACCCAUCUUAAAAUGUCCAUUUUGAUAAUAUACUGAAUCACCAUAAUAAUAGUUUCCCCUAACCCGCUAAAUCAGGGAGACUAAGUUCCUCUAACUACGUGGUUUGCUACGAGGCGGUGUAGUUCUGACAGAAUUCACUAGAAACUUCUCAAGAUGUCCAAGAUUGCAACCAUGCUCUGAUACCAACUGACACACCCCGUCCCGAAGGAGGGCAUGCUGGCCGUCACGUGAGAGUGACGUAACCAUUUGCACAGUACGGAAGCUUUAAGAUACAAUUUAUAAGUUGAUACACCCGAAGGUGAGUCCUAAUUUUGUCCAAUCUGUCAGAACACCGUCGAAUUCCUCGUAGUCACCACACCUUUGUGAUUUUUGAACCUGGAGGGGCGCAAAACCAAAAUUGAGUGGGUCAGUAAAACAAUUCUUUUCCAAAUCCAAACAUUUCUCAAAACGUUGUAACCCCUCUCCGUAAAACCUGUAUACUUUCCCAGAAAUGUAAAAUAUAAAUCUACAUAUAUAUUCUCAAGACUUCAAGUCGUUAACUCAACAUUUUCAUACAAUUAUGCCAUGCCACAUCAUCUCAACAUUUCUCAUAUUAAUUAUGCCAUGCCACAUCAUCUCAACAGUAAUAAGGUAUGAAUGCAUCAACAUAAUCAUAUCAGGUGCAAGAAAGUAAUCAACCGUAGGCCCUCUAAUAGCCCUGUACGGUUGAACCUAGAGCUCAAAAUCUAUCACUCUCACACUCUGCUGGAGUCACUCCGCGUGACCUGUACGGCCUUCUGCACAUAAGUUACGCUCUAGUGCUUCUCAUAAUCAUUUGUGCACAUAAUCUAAGGUCACCCACCAGUCGGAAUCUCACUAACACUCUCGCGACUGGCCUGUCGUACCCACUCCGCGUGGACUGUACGACUAGCAUCUACUUGGAUCCAAGACGAGCGUGCGAUGCGGUGAAUACUAUAAGCACUAAACUAUGGUGCAGGAUUUGAGCUCAAUAUACAUCAACAUCAUCAUAACAGAAAUAAAUACUCACAUGUGCGUCCACCGCACCAUUUCAUACAUAUGCAUCAUAAAUCAAUUCUUACCCGUGCGUCCACCGCACCAAUUCAUACAUAUGCAUCAUAAAUCAAUUCUUACCUGUGCGUCCACCGCACCAAUUCAUACAUAUGCAUCAUAAAUCAAUUCUUACCUGUGCGUCCACCGCACUAAUUCAUACAUAUGCAUCAUAUAUUAAUUCAUGCAUGGCAUUUCAACUCACAUUUCUAAAUACUUUUCAUAUCAAUUCUAUGCAUGGUAUUUCACUUCCCGUUUUUCCACAUAACUCAUAUGCAUUUCAUUUUAAACAUAUUU
Molecule: long non-coding RNA, 80736 nt
Filed under: Malus domestica (apple)
Lineage: Eukaryota; Viridiplantae; Streptophyta; Magnoliopsida; Rosales; Rosaceae
Description: long non-coding RNA (MDOM_LNC003348)
Source: RNAcentral